UUUAAUAGCUUUUUUAGUCAUUUUGACAACCUAGUAUUCUAAAUUUGUAUGCUAAUGCUCUGCUCAUCUAGACAUCUACAACGGUGUCCUGUCAUGCAAUUAAAACGAAAAGUUGUAAAGCUUAUAUUUUUAUUGUCUUUAUAGAAUGUCAACAAGUUAGAUGCAAUUAAAUGUUAUACUAUAAUAAUACAAGUUGCAGGCUUGGUUGAGACAAUCUUUUUUUUUUUUUUGAAACAAGGUUCAGACAAUCUAACUCAUCAUUGUCACGUCCAUUUUUUGUUUUUGUAAUUACUUAGACAUGAUACCGUGUGGGGGCAUAUAAAGAAACAAAUACAAAUCAACAUUACUUCUAAAUGUCUUUAUGAACGACAGUAGUUUGGUAACUUGAUAGGGUUUCUCUAAUUCUUAUUUACUUGAUGUACGUAAAAUAAAAUUAGAGUGUUUUCUCUUUUCUCUAAUUCUUAUUCCUUUUGCUUCAAGCCCCCCUUCUCACCCGCUUCCGAUAUGUGGCCGUUCCUGGAGCUCGCUUGUCCACCGGCGGAGGAACCUAGGCUGAUUCCGGUGGUCCUUUCGGUCCUCUGGUGACGCUGCGAGGUGGUUAUGGUGACGGUGGGGGUGUGGAGUCGGAUUUUGGGUAGGGUUUCGUCUGAUCUCAUGUUUUCUCUUUUUGAGAUCUACGGCGAACCCCUUCGAUUGGUGGCGCGUGGCUUCGUUUGGGGGCUCCUCCGGCCCGGAUCUACUCGUUUACCGGUGAUUAAUGUCUUCGUUGUCCCAAUGGAGUGGCUUGUGUGCGCGUGUUUCUCCAGCGCUCGAGGCGUCUCGAGGUUUGGGGUUCUCGCAGCCCAUUGUGCAGUUAGUACGGCGAGGUUCCUCCUCUUCGGCGCGUCUGAGGUAUCUCUGGGUUCGUCGUGUGUCGGCUCCGGCAGUGUCUCGUUGGCGUGUGCGUCUGCGGCUUUGGUUCGUUUCAGAGUCGUCUAUGGCUUUGUCUCUGCCCGUGUUCAUGGUGCUUCUUUCUUGACCCCCUCAGGCCUCGGCUCUUCCCCCUUCGGCUUCUCCUGUGUUCGUCUCGGCUGCGCUUAAUUGUUCUUGCUUCUGUUCCGGUUAGCUAGCUGGUCAGUGUCCUGGUUCUCAGGAUCUGUCCAUGUCUGAGUCGCUCUUCCUCUCCGAGGGGUCUUCGGUUUAGGUGGUGUCUCAGGUUUUCUUGGUUUGAACUCAUCAUCCCAGCACUGGAGUUAGUCGCUUGCGUUCUGUCUUCGAGUGUAUGGGUUCUUCCGGCUGGUGUUGAUGUUCUGGUGUGCCUUUGUGGAGAUGUUGCUGUCCUCAACCCGUUUUGUAAAGGUCUUUGGCGCAUAGCUACUUUGUGGCUGUCCGUCGGAAUAAGGCUCGGUCUUGUUAUGUAGGUGUGCUAGGCCUCUGGCUUGACUGGUGUCGUGUUGGCGGAUGUUCAGGAAGUCUAUCUCGAGCUGUUUUUGGUCGAGCCAAAUCAUAAAGAGCAGUUCAUCGGGGAAGCCAAAAUUACCGGGUUCUGUCUCUCGUUUUAACUGUGGUUUAACCUCUUGCGGCAAGUGGUAAGUAUAGAAUGGUUGAAGCCGCUUGAUUUCGGUUUGGUUGGUUGUGUCUGUCCCUGCUAGACUAGAUCGAGUUGUUGUUUAGAUUUUGUUUAUUUUUCUGUUUCUUGUUGCCUCUGUACUUCUGUCAAAAAUUUGAAAAUUGGUAAUAAUAUCUUUACAUUUUACCAAAAAAAAAAAAAAUUAGAGUGUUUUUAUUUGAUUUGGUUAAUUGGUUUUAAUUAACUUUAGUGGUUUUAUUAAAGAAAGUGUAGUCAAAGAUUACGAUUCAGCGAUUUUUUUUUCCCAAAAGACUUGACAUUGACUAAUCGGUUUACCACGGCCACGUUUCUUUCUAACAAACAAUAAACGAAUUUUUUUUUUCAAUUCACUUAAUAUUUAUUAAAAUAUUUAUAGUCUCGAAAAGAUAAUAUUUACUUCAUAUCCAAAAUAAGAGAUACGAUUCUGUAUAGAUACGAUUUACUGAAUCUGUAUCCAUAUGAUGAUAGGAAUAUGACUUAUCGGUCCCAUAUUUUGAGCAAGAGGCUAUGGACAUAGCCAACUCGUGUACAGGAAAACAAUUAUAACGCAUAACGUUAAAACCAAUGAUUUCUUUUGAAAUUAUUGAACUCUGCGGUGAGAAAUUCCAAAUUAAUUGGGAGGCUCGAAUAUAAUGUCCUCUCAGUUAUGAUACUGGUACGAUGGUCGAUAUAACAUUAUAACAUAUCAAUCUCAAUUAUUGUUUGUGACAUUAAAUUCUCUCUAGCCAUAAUGCUCUUCGUCGACAUUCAUAUUUAAACUCGAAGAAGAGAGUACUUUUGUCAUAUAUUACAUCUAUGAUAUAUGUAAGCAUCUGUCGACAUGUGCAUAUACGCAUAUUCUGCAGAAUGUGAAUUUUCAUAUCUAUUACGUAUAUCAAAUUGGAUCGGUUGACAGUAUAAAUAUAUAUAUAGAGAUAGGAGUUUAACAGUCAUUAAAACAUAAAUAAUAAGAACUGCUAAAAAAUAAAUUGUAAGAACUACCGGUUCUGUGGUUCCAAGCUGGGCAUGUAGAGCAUCAAUCUUAAUUUUGCAGAUCAAUCGGUGACAACUUAUCAUACGGAAGAAUUGUUAAAGGGUGAGAUCUUGGAUUCGAGGAAUGUCAUGCGCACCAACAACUAAAUUAAAGAGUCAACGAGGGUUCAUAAGUGAGGGAUUGGGGUUUAUGCUCUGCAGGGUCAGCCUUGAGCCUACGAAGCACGUUGUUACAAUAAAAGUUGAUUUUUAUGUGACAACUCGUCCCGCGGACCCAGUCUUACAGCCCUGCAAGACACCAACCUUAACCCUUCACAUGUGAACCUUCAGUACUGACUCCCCCAUGUAGGUUAUUGGUGCGUUUGGCGUUCUUCGAACCCAAUACCUCACCCUUUAACCACAUUCCAACAGUAUAAAUUGUCACCAAUUGAUCAAAGGACACCGACCCUAACCCCUCACAUGUGAACAUGGGUCUGCGGGACGGAUUGUCAUACAAAUUUUAUACUCGAGUAGUUUCGUCAUGUUGAACGGUAACAAGAACUGAACGAUGCAAGGAGACUUAGUAAGAGACCAUUUUAUAUGGCACUGGAAAAAACUUUUUAUACGUACCCAUGUGUCUAAAGUUCUGUUGCAACCUUUGCUCGUAUAUAUAUAUAUAUAUAUCAGUAUCGGCAGGCUCGUCUUAUUUUAUCAUGGUUUAGUAUUAAUGGAACUUUUUUUGUUGGAAUUUUCAAUGUUAAUUGAACAUUUGCGAAAACUUUAUUUCCUUAACCAAAAAAAUACAGUUGUCCACUGUAUGGUACAAAUCUUGAAGAUGAGAAAAAGACCCAAGCUAGUAAAAUCGAUGGGUCAAAUUUUCAUACUCUCGCUAGAGAGAUCAUGUUUAACAAUUUUAUGCAUAUUUAUAUAUGGCUAAUUAGUUUAUCACUAUUUGGCCAGUAUAGAUGUGAGUUUCUAUCCAAAUAUGGUGGAUUAUAACAUAUGAUCGGUAUUUUUCCUAAGACUAGUAAAAAAGUAUUCUAAAUUCGAGUCAUAUAGUACGGUAGUCAGUCCACUCUGUAGCAUUAAGUGCGUUUUUAUGAAACUGACCGGUCAGUCGUAUGAUAUAAAAAAAAUUGUUUGCGGGAUUAAAAAUGUCUCCUAUUCGGGUAUCAAUACCUAUUCUUGUUAGGAUGUAUAUACUAACUGUAAAUCAUAAUAGAAAAGAAAGGAAAAAACGAAUUCUCUACUUUCUUUGUCAGCAUUAUGGAAAAAUGUGGAUGUAAUAUUGCAUGGAUGUUGAAUAUCGUGGACCUUGGUUAUAUGCAGGCCCGUCCCUUCUAUAAGGCCAAUGAAGCAUUGGCUUCAGGCCACAUAUUAUAAAUACAAAAAAUAGGUCACAUUUUCAAAAAUUACUUGUAGCUUAGAUGGGAAAAGUAAGAGAUGUUAGACCUUCUGGUCUCUAGUUCGAACCAGACCACAGCCAGUUUUAAAUUGGUAAUUUUUAUGAAGGGCCACAUUAUUUGACAGGCUUUAAGCCUCAUAAAUCUUUCGGACGGCACUGGUUAUAUGUUUAAUCCCAUUACUAGCCAGAGAACUACUGCCAAAGAGGCGCACGAAAAGGCAUAUUUUAGUUUUGUUCGAGCUAAUUACAUGUGUUGAAGUUUGGUGAUACCAAUAUUCAGGGCUGGCUCAUUACCAUGUAGGGUCUCGGACAACAUAAAUUUAUAUGCCCUAUAAUUAUUAGUUUUAAUAUUAUUUUUAAAUAUUAAUAUUUAAGAUAAUAUCAAAAACCAAUAAAAUAAUUUAAACAGACUAACUAAUUUUAUUUUAAUCCAGUUUUAUGAUUAAAAUAUUUUACAUUAAUAUAUUUACAAAAUUAUUUAAUCUAAAUCAAAUAUUUUUUUGAGCAACCACAUAUUAUAUUAAAACUUGGGAAGAUUUUUUAGCCCAAAGGCCAGUCCAUAGAAAGAUCAGAUACAAUAGAGUGGGCUUUUAGGGCCUGUUUAGCUAAUGAGUCAGCAGCCAUGCAUGUUUCGGGAACGAGGGAUAUGCUAAAAAAAAGAUAGAGACAAACUCAGGAGAAGCUUGAUCGAUGUCGUUGAGAACACUAUAGAUUUCCUUGAACUGCAGUUUGUUGUUAAUUACUCUGAUGAGCGUUGAACAAUUGAAGAAGAAGGUGAUGCUGGAGAUUCCUGUCUCAAUAGCACUUUUAAUUCCUCUUUAGAGAGUUAGGGUUUCAGCCAUGAAAGGGGAAGCUACAUUGUUGAUGAUUUGGGUUCCCGGUCGGGGUGGUCCGUUCACGAUCCAUGCGAUACCUGCUCUGUUUGUGGCGGCAUCGCAGGCUGCGUCUAUUGAGCACGAGAGCGGCAUCUCCAAUUUGAGCUGCUUUUCAUGGAUCUUAUGGUUUAUUUGCAAAAAUCAGAAUGGAAAAAUUUAUAAGAAUCAGAGAAGGGAUCCUUUCGAGCUCCUCCGGACUGCAGAAAUUGAGAGUGUCACGUGGGCGGAGUCACAGACCAAGGAUUUUCCAAAUGUGGGGUCCUCAUAUAAUGUGGAUAACCUUAUUACAGGUGAUAUAAGUAGGUGUUAUAUCGAUGGAGCAUGGAGGGCACAAGACUCGUGCACAGGACAAGGAUGGGUUUAUAACGCAGGUGAAUCAACUGAUACUAUGAUGGGAGCCAUGUCUAUUCGCAAAAGUCUAUCACCUUUACAUGCUGAAUGUGAAGCGUUGAUAUGGGCGAUGGAGUGCAUGAAGACCCUACGAAUCUCAGAAGUGGUGUUUGCAACUGACUGCUCUCAACUGGUGAAGAUGGUGUCUACACCAAAAGAAAAGUCGGCGUUCACUACACAUAUGGAGGAGUUUCUGCGAUGUAAGGAAUUUUUUCAUCCCUUUACUAUUCAGCAUAUCCCGAGUGCACAAAACACAAUGGCGGACAAGCUAGCACGAGGUGCUAGAAAUCAGCUUGCUGCUAUGGUUUAUGUUGAUUCAAUUCCCCCGAGGUGGUUCUUGGUAUGAAUCUUUUUAGGUCUCUUUAGUUUUUGUUGAAAGAAAAAGAAAAAAAAGUGCAAGUUAACUACCAAAAAUUGAUGUAUUUUCAAUACUGAUACGUGUAUGUCUCUUUCUUAUUAUUAUUCCCGAAAUACUUUUUUAUAUUGCCGUGUUGAUAAACAAAUUUAUUAUUGAUAUUUCUAUGUAUAUAUACAAAUAAACCUUGCUUAUAUAGUAUCUGUAAGUGGCUGAAUAUGCGAUGGCAGAAAAUAAGACUUUAAACUAUAUUAAAUGGUCUGUUUUAUUAUUUACUCUUUAAACUUUUAAGAAAUAAGAAAACAGAGAAGAUAUAUAUUCCAAAGUUUUCUUACAAACAAAAAUUUAGUGGUGGUCGUUGUAACUUUCUUAUCAAUCUGGUUUCCUAUAAGCCACAUCAUCUGGAGCAUUUUUGGAUCUAAGAAAAACACCGGACCUUGUAUAGUUUUCUUCUAGUGCAAUAAAUGACAAAGCUUAUACAAAAAUAUAUUGACAUUUGACAAUAUCAUUGUGUAAGUGUGAGUAAUGAAUAGACCAGACCCAGUCUCACUUUUGCUUGUCGCUUUUAGGAGAUGAUACGAUAGAUGCUCUUUUACCUUUCUCUUUGCAGCUUGCACAUUAUAUCCGGACACGAGUCCUCCUAAAUGGUUGUUUUUUAUCGCAGAAAAUAUUAUUAUAACAGUCUUUUUAGAGCUGUAACCACAAAAGACUUGCAUGAUAACGCCAUUAUAUCUAAAAUAAAGAGAUCAGUUCAAAGAAUUAUUAAUCUAUUUCUGUGAAUCUGCAGUCGAAAUAUAAUGACAUGUGGUCGAAUCAUAUCAUAUCUUAUUUAUUAUAUAGAUUCAUGUCCUCAUCACAAGAUAUAGAAUAAACACCUACACUUUUUGUUGGAGAAAAUAGAUAUACAAUCCGUUUUAAUGAUAUAAAAUUGAUAUAUUCCCACUCGGCUAGCUAUCAGUAAAAAAAACUAUAUAGUAAAAUAUGAAAACUAUAUAAGCUUUUAAGGGUAUAUUCUAAUCUUUGAAAAAUAUUAACCAAUAAAAAUUGACUAGUUUAAAAAAAAAUAAAAAAAAAUUCAGAAUCUCUAAAAAUAAUAAAUUAUUAUUUUCCUCAUUUGUUAUGAGUUUAUUGGUGAAAAUUUUUCUCUUUAACCAAUAGUUUACACUAAAUUACUUCUCCAUCCGUUCCAUUAAGAUAGACUUUUUAAAAAAAAGUUUACUUCACAAAGAUACAUUUUUUGUGUUUUCUGUGAAAAAAUUAUAAAUUUCGAAAAAAUUAAUUGACUUUAUUGAAUUAUUAUUGGUUAAAAGUUAUUAAAAAUUAAAAAUUAUAUAAAACGAUACAUUUAUUAUAGUAGUUUAAUGUGUUUUCUUGAUAAAUCUGUCUUUACGAAACUAAUGGAGUAUAAAAUAAUAAAAGAAUAGAAUAGUAUUCUAAAGUGAACUAAUGAAUUAUUUUGUUUUGAAUUAUUUUAUACGAUUUAUAUUUUGAUUGACAAAGCAUUUGCAAAAGAAAAUAUGCUUUUUACUAUCCAAUCAAUUAUUACCGUACAAUCAAAGUAUACUUUUUAAUAAUAUGGUUUUGACUAAAAGUACAAAUGAGCAAUGAGAGCGAAACUAAAAAUAUUAUGGGAACGGAAGCAUACUUUUUAAUAACUAACAUAUGUGACCGAUCAUCAUACAAUUAAAACAAGAUAUUAACGUAUUAGAAAAAUUAACAGAAAAUUUAACGGGAAUUUAAGAAUUAAGAAUGCAUCAAACCGUUGUAAUGCAUUAAUUAUCAUGAAUAAUAUUUUUUAUUUGGCCAAAACACAUGAGAAAGGAUAAGUUAGUUAAUAAAAAUGUGAAAAACGAAGUCCGAUACUCAGGAUUUCGAUAUUAGCUAUUAAAAAUUAGUAACAGAAAAAAAGAAAAAAAAAACAUUAACAGUAUCAACGUUUACUUACAACUUAAAAAGAUUAUUUAGUUGACAAAAACGAUGAUGACGUUUUUAUAUGGCCCCCAAAAGAAAAUUGGUAGAAGAAAUCAUAGGCAAAUUCGUUUUCUCUACAGUAGACACGUCAAGAUAUACAAAGAGAACAUUUUGAUUAAUGUUUAUAUUUUAAAACCGAAAAUGAAUCUAUAUACAUAAAUGUAUCAGUUUGGAAUACGGAAACCCUAGAAGUCGUAUAGAGAGGUGAUCACUAACGACACGUGUGAGAGUAGCCACAUGUAAAUUAUCCUUCGCGAUUCUUAAAGUUCUCUACCACGUUUAGGCGUUAGGUUCGAUCCUUAUUUAAUUGCAGUUCUACUUUGUGAAGUUUUUAGUCUAUCCUUUAUACAUACUUACAUUUGCACAAUGUAUUACAUUCAUAGUUUUGUUUGAAACCAUUCAUAUUCGUAGUUAAAUACGACAAUGUUGAUGAAAUACGUUUAUAAUGAUGAAAUACGUUUAUAAUGCAUACUUAAUUAAGCAAGUAUGCAGCCAAUAAUAUUUUCAAGGCAGCCUUGUCCAAUUAUAUAUCUAAAUAUUGAAACUAUUAGAUUUUCAGGAUCUUAACCUCUUUCUACAUUUGCAAUCGAUCUCCUGUUGUUAUUCGUUUAUUCAACAAGUUUGCCCUUUAAAGACUCACUAGAACUUGACCCGCACCCCCGUGCAGGUGUUUGAUUUAAUUUGUGUUUAACAUAAAAUCAUAAACCGCUGGUUUGAUUAAAAAAAUUUCAUAUAUAUUUUUUUAUGUUUUGUAAUGUACAUAUAGAGUAGAAUCGUCUAUGUAAUCUUUCUCAUAUCAUAAUUGUAAUAUCAUAAUAAAUCAGCGUUAAAAAAAGAGAAUAAAAUAUAUUAUUUUAUAAUAUAGAUGUUUGAUAAUAAUUUUUUUAUUUGUACAUAAUAUUAUAUUAUUUUUUAUAACUUAAUGUAAUUUGAUGUAAUUGUAUAAUUCAUAUAUUGAUCUGUUGUUUUUCUGUUAAGGAAAACAUGCCUAAAAUUUAAUUUUUGUAUUAGUUUUCUAUGAAUUAUUAUUAAUUUUAUGAUAUUUUAUUUUCUUGAAAAUUAAACUCUCAAAAUUUUUAUAUUUGACUAAACUAAAUAAAGUAAUACUAUAUUUAAAAUUCUUUUAUAUAAGAUAUACUAUAUAUUUUAGUUUUUUUUUUAUAUUUUCACUAUAAAGAAACAACAACCAUUGUAAUUAAUUAAUUUAAAUUAAUUUUAAAUGUAGUGGCAGAAUCUAUAAAUAAAAAUACAAAAAGGAAAUAUAUAAUUUAUAAUAAAUGUAAUGACUAAAUGUGUAAAUAAAAUAAAGUAAUUAAUCUGCUAUCCAUGUUACCAAACAAAUUCUCAUUUAUGUUUUAUCCUUGUUUCCAAAUAAUUCUCAUUUAUGUUUUAUCCAUGUUUCCAAACAGUACUAAAAUGUACUUCAGUUUUAAUAAUAUAGAUGGUUGAGUGUUUCCACUUUUUAGAUUAAUAUUGGGUAUUCAAAUCAGUUGAAGGGUUUAGAAUAAUAUCAAUAAAUUGUUUUUUAGGCCAAAAAAAUGAUAAUUAUAUCAUAUUAAGCUAACCUCAUAACUUUAUGUCUUACUAGUCUAAAUAUUUUCGAAAUUACAAUUAAUAAAACAAUUUUUAAAUAUCAAAAUAUAACUUUUAACUAAAAUAAUUAAAAUAAAUAUUAAAAAUUCUAAAAAAAUAAAGUUCAAAGUUUUUUUUUCUCAAAGGAAUCGAUCAAUCCCAUAAGCAACCAUUUGAUCUAAACUGGUCGAUCCUGAUAAAUAAAUCUAGAACAAUGAAAAUAUGCAUAGCAUAUAGUGAUCGACCAAGCCCGCAGAAGCUUAAUCCCACUUCGAACGGUCGCGUCUUCGGGAUCGAUCGAUCACGUGCCCAUGUAAGUCUUCCAAAUCGAUUUUUUGGUUUUCGUCGGUUAAAUCUGGUUUGAUUCUCACUUGAUUUGAACCGAACAAACGCGAGCUGAACUCUUCAAAUUCAAUUUCUAAUCAAUCAAACUCAUUUUUCUCUUUUCUUUGAAAAAACAAAGGGGAGAAGAAGAUGGCAUGAAACAAAUUUUCAAAUCAAUGUUUUAAUUUUUUUUAAUUUAGAAAUUGAUUUUAUAAAUCACUAUUUUUUAAAUUGAUUUAAUAAAUAUAAAGAAACUAAAUAUUUCCAAAUAUUAUCUUUCCAUAUUUUUUGGAACUGAUUAUCUUUAUCCGUAGAAUUUGUAUUCUACUAUAUGUUGAACACAAUAAACAUGUUUGAAAUCGAUUUCUACCUGUUUUAGAUUUAUAGUAAUGUGUAGAUUCCGAUUUCUACAGGUUUUAGAUUUAUAGUAAUGUGUAGAUUUCGAAUUCUACAGAUUUUAGAACGAUAGGUUAAGCAUGGAAUGUGUGUUUCCAAAUAUUUUUAGAUUGCUAUUAGUUACGUAGAUUACGUAUUCUAAACAUAUUAGAUUCAAUGAAAACAGUGGAUUACAUUUUCUACUGUGUAGAAUGUCAAUUCUACUUUUUGUAGAAUAAAAUAUGAAAUUAUGAUUUAAACACUUCUAGAACUGAAAAAAAUAUCAAUAGAUUGAUAUAGGUAUUUUAUCAGUAGUUAUUAUUUUUGAAUUAUUUUUUUGUAAAACUAUUUAUUUGAUUUAUUUUGAAAAAUACUAAAAAGUAUUAGAGGAAAAAAUAUAUAGUACAAAAAGAAAUUAGUCUAAUAAGACAUAUCUAUCAUUUUUUGUCAUAAAAACAAUUUUCCUUAAAAAAUAUAACUCUGGAUAAACACUCUAUCCGGAUAUGCAAAUAAGUUGAAAACAAAAAUUUAUAUCCAACUUAGCUUCUUAUAGUAAAUGAAUCAAAUCUAAAAUGUGUCCGAAGUCCGUUUUUUUACCACUUAAUCACAAAAAUUCCAGACAAUAGUUUUUUUUUUUUCAAUUCCAGACAAUAGUUAAAUAAAUAAAACUAGGAUAAGACCCGCGCUUUGCGCGGGAUUAAGUUAUUAUUUUUAUUAUAUUUUGGAAAAUGAAACAAUAGUUUGGCUUCAUUUGGAUUACGGGUGUUCAAUCCGGAUAUCGGGUUGGUUUCGGUUCGGUUCGAUUUUUUCGGUAUUUGGUUAGUAAAAUAUAACUACUAUUCUAAAUCCAUAUUUACUUUGAUUUUAGUCUUUCACAUACUUUUGAAAGAUUUCAACUCGACGACUAAAUUGAUCAGCCAAUCUUGUUGCUUUAAAUCAUUAGUGUUUAUAUAUAUAUAUAUAUUAUUUAGUUUGAAUAUUUAUUAAAUAAAAAUUCAUAUGCGUUAUAUUUUAUGAUCAUUUGUAACUUAUUAUAACAAAAAAAUAAUCUAUUGAUCACAAAAUUUUCAGAGUGGGAAUAUUCAAAUUUCUAAUAAUAUAUAGACGUUUUGAAAAAUUCAAAUAUAACAUAUAAGAAAAAAAUAUAAAUGUUUUUAUUAUAUAUUUAAUGUGAUUUUUUAAUAUCUUUCAAUAAUAUAAAAUUAAAAAAAAAGAACUAAGAUACCAAAAUUGUUAUCAAAUAUUUAUUAUUCAUAAUAAUUAAUUUUCAUAUAUACGUUAAUCAUAUUAGGUAAUUUUGUAGCUUCUAAUUAAGGAAAGUGCAAAAAAAAUUUUGAUAGAUUAUUUAUCAAUUCGAUAGUUAGUUUAAUAAAAAAUAUAAUGUAAGUCAAGAUGGACCAACCUAUUUUUAUAAGAAUAGUAUAUUUUAUAUAGUCAUUUAUUAAAUGAGAAUUUAUAAUCAUACAGUUCUAUAAUCAUUCAUAUCAUUUUAUAACUGAAUAUUUAAAUCAUCGAUAACAAAAUUUUCAAUGUGAAAUCUUUAAUAAGUUUAUAAUUUAUAAAUAUUUUUGAAAAUUCAUUGAAAGUUUUAAUAUUAAAAUAUUUAUGUAAUCUUAUGGUAUAUAGUAUAAUCUAUAUAUAUAUAUAAAUAUAUAUGUUUUAUUAUUAAAUGAUAUUUUUUACUCAUAAAGUUUUAAAAUAAUGUGUAUCUUCUUAUAAUAUUAAAUAAAAGUUCAUAUUAAUACAAUUUUAUGAUCAUUUGUAACUUAUUAUGACAAAAAAAUAAUCUAUUGAUCACAAAAUUUUCAGAGUGGGGAUCUUAAAAUUUCUAAUAAUUUAUAGACGUUUUGAAAAAUUCAAAAUAUAACAUAUAAGAAAAAUUAUAAAUGUUUUUAUUAUAUAUUUAAUGUGAUUUUUAAAUAUAUUUUAAUAAUAUAAAAUUAAAAAAAGAACUAAGAUACAAAAAUUGUUAUCAAAUAUUUAUUAUUUAUUAUAAUUAAUUUUCACAUAUACGUUAAUCAUAUUAGAUAAUUUCGUAGCUUUUAUUUAAGGAAAGUCCAAAACAUUUUUUGGUACGUUAUUUAUCAAUUCGAUAGUUAGUUUAAUAAAAAGUGUAAUAUAAGUUAAGAUGGACCAACCUAUUUUUCUAGGAAUAGUAUAUUUUGUAUAGUUAUAUAUUAAAUAAGAAUUUAUAAUCAUACGGUUCUAUGAUCGUUCAUAUCGUUUUAUAACAAAAUAUUUAAAUCAUCGAUAACAAAAUUUUCAAUCUGAAAUCAUUAAUAAGUUUAUAAUUUAUAAAUGUUCUUGAAAAUUCAUUGAAAGUUUUAAUAUUAAAAUAUUUAUGUAAUCUUAUGGUAUAUAGUGUUUAAUAUAUAUAUAUAUAUAUAUAUAUAUAUAUAUAUAUAUAUAUAUAUAUAUAUUUAUUUUAUUAUUAAAUGAUAUUUUUUUUACUCAUAUGGUUUUAAAAUCAUGUGUAUCUUCUUAUAAUAAAAAUGUUAAACCAUUGAUCAUUAAUUUUUAACAUAAUAAUUUUAAUAGUUUUAGUCAUUUAUUGUCGUUUUUAAAAAUUCAAAAUAUAACAUAUACGAAAAAAUCUAAAUUUUAUUUUUAUAGCUAAUUUGAUUGUUUAAUUUAUUUUAAUAAUAUAAAAUUAAACAAAAAAUGAUGGAGGAGAUAUACAUUGUUAUCAAAUCUUUAUUAUUAAACUCAUUAAUUGUCAUAUAUAUAUUAGUCAUUUAUGGUAAUUCUGUAGGUUUUAUUUAAGGAAAGAAAAUAUCAUAUCAUAUCAUUAUAUCAUAUAGUUUGACCAACUUAUGUAUCUAACAACAUAUAAAAAUCGAAUGUGGACCUACUUAUUUUUCAAUUGAAUGUAAUUGACUAUUUAAUUGAGUGCCACCUAUGCAUUGGAGCCUCUUUUAAUUAAUACAAAAUUGAGAUUACAUCUUUUCAAAUGUUCCUCAAUUAAUAUAUAAGGGAUAUGUCCGCGGUUAUAUACAAUCGGAGUAGUGAAAAUUUUCUAAAAGCGCUGGUUACAGAAGAAUCUUAAUCCUUACAUGAAACAAAUGUGAUCACAUGUUUUAAGUCCGAACUGAUUCCACAUCUUUUGUUAUUUAGAAUCGUCUACAUAAGAAAUCAAUACCAAAUUAUAUUUUCUAAAUUAACUACUGUUUUUCUGUUUCUUCGUCGGUCAAUUGCAUGGAGGGGAGAAUUUUGUUUAGAUAAAAGAGGUUUGAAUUUAAAAGAAAAAAACAAAGUCAUGGCUCCUCAGUCCUCAAGAAUAUUCAUGAUUUGACAUAAAAUACUUUUGGCUUGCAACGAGAGUAUUUUUUUAAAAAAAUCAUCAUUUGUAAUCUCUUUAUUUUUUAUGUCGACUUUUGUUUCGACAAAAAUUACCCUGUUAACGCUGCAUUCGGAAACGAAUUAGUACAUUAAAAACCAAAAAAAAAAAAAUGCAGGCGAGCGACAGUUGUUUUCGAUAAUGGAAACCGAGCUGUAUCUUUGGAAAAAUACCUUUCUCCUUAACCAAAAAAAAAACUUAUCCUUCUUUUAUCUUUUUCUAAAAUAUAAAUAGAGCGAUACGGAAACCAACAACAUUUUCAGAAAAGGUAUAAAAUAAUGUAUCAAAAAGGUCUGAUUUCGUGUCCGCGUACGUACAUAAAUGUACAAUACUGGCCAUAUGUAGACAAUAUAGCGAACUGACUCAAUAAAGUCUUUUUAGUUGUGUUUGUCACUACGAAAUCAAUGCAAAAAGGUAAAGGCUAAUUAAAAAUGAUUUUUAAUUAUUUAUUCAAAAUUAUGUACAUUCCAUAUUUUGCCUUAUCGGGACAUAACUCGCAUCCUGAUCUGUUGUGGCAAAUAUAUAAUACCUUUUUGGUAAGCGUUUUGAAUUAUUAAUCAAUGUUCGUAAUGGUGCCCAUAACCCAUUUGUCUUCUUCUUUCCUUCGCAAAAUGUUUAUUUUUCCGGCAAAAAAGGGAUAAUUUAAAAAAAAAAUUAAAAAGAAAAGAUAUGUACCCAAUUGGGAAAUUGCCAACGUAACUCCUUUUUCUUUUUUGGCAAAUGCCAACGUAACUCUAUAUAAAGUAAUCUUCUGUCAGGCACGCAAAUAAAGGUCUGCAUGUUAUGAAAAUUAUGGUCGGUCGAAGAACGAUCUACCUUUGGGAUAUUUAGUUUUCCCCCUAAUAUUAUCUUCCUAUAUUAUAAAAAUAGGUGGUUUGCUAGUGUUUGUAGUACAUAUACACGUAGAACUAUUUGUUCACGUGCAUUUAUUGAAUUUAAAUUCGUUGGAAUACUAUUCGUUGUAGAUUGUCAUAUUUCAUUCUUGAUUAUGUUUCUUAGAUGAUUUAAAAGAUGAUUACAUUCCAAUUUUUAACUAAGCUUAGAAAGUAUGUAGUCGCUACUAUGUCAAUUUUACAAUGAUAAGAAAACUUAAACAAAAAACAAUCACCAGUAUUACAAUAGCAUAUCAAUGAUCAUGAAUGAUUCAUGAUCACUUCUAUCACUUGGUUUUAUAUGAUACUAAGAGCAUCCCCAUUAGUGAACCCCAUGAAAGGGGUUCACAAAACAUUUUUUUAUUUUUUUUUUUUGGGUUGAUUUUUGUUUUUAAAAAAAAAAAAAAAAAAAAAAAAUUAUUUUUUCGGACCAGUCGCGGGCCGCCACGUGCCGUGGGGCCCGCGCUACAGUGAUGAACCAGGUUCACUGAGAAGGGGUGGAGAGAGACAGGUUCAUCACUAUUCCUUAUUUUAAUAAUUUUUUUUUUUUGGGAAUGUGUGUGAACCCCCCAUAAGUUCACUAAUGGGGGUGCUCUAAAUACUUUAGUAAAGUACGUAAACUAAUAAAUUGUUAAAGCAAAAAAACAUGUCAAGUUAACUAAUUAAUUCGUAUGUGCCUACUUUUGGGACUACUCAUUCUUAGAUAAACUUUUGAAAUAGUUAACCUAAAAUGAUAUAUACGCAUAGUGCAGUGAGGAUGUUAGUUAUAUUAUGUUGUUUAAAUUAGAAUAGGUCAUACCAUUCGUACGUACAAUAAGCAACCACCCCGCAAUCAAUAUAUUUCCGACCGCGUAUGCUUCGUGUUGCCAAAACAUUAAAUUUGGGUUCGCCUGUAUGAUCUAUAAAUUAUAUAUUCAGAUUCAACUUGACUACUUGACUGGGACAAAUUUAUUUAACUAGUUGAGGCAUUGAGCUACCCGGCCGUUAGUUGUUUUGUUUGUAUAUAUAUAGUUUUGCUAGUAUAUAUUCCUGAAAAAAAUCGCUUCGUGAUGUCCAAAUGCAGUCUAUUUUGAAAAAGGGAAUCUAGCCUUCAUUUGAUGGUUCAUUUCAUUUGAAGUAAUUAUAAGUUUGUAUAGAUUCGUCGUCAGGUUGAAACAUUUUUAAAUUAUUCGUUUUUAAUAGUCUGACAUUUAUAUUAUAUAUAGAUCAUGUAGUAGGAUGUGAUUGGUAAAACUUGGCAUAAUUGAGAGGAAUAUAAUUUGGUGGAAAUGAGUGAAAAGGUAAUUAAAGAGAUAAAAAUAACGCUGGAGUAAAAGUUUUAUCCAUAGGAAAGAGAAAGGAUGUUUUGCGCCAGAAACUCAGAAAAAGACAAAACAAAUUACUCUGCAUCAAAUGUUACUUUUUAUUCUGAUUGGUUUUGUCCUAGCGUAACUGAGCUGAAAAUAACUUUUACUCCAAUAUUUUUACUCUAGAAAGGCUAUCCAAUCAGACUCGUAAUGUGGUAUUGUGCUUACAAAUAUGAAAAGUUGAUCUUAGUAUUUUUAUCAUUGAGAUCGAUUAAAAAGAGGCCUGACGCAUGGCGAGCCAGGUGUCACUGAAAUGUUUUGACGACAUGAAAGUCGUCGCCGAACUUUUAAAACCGGGAGAAAUAAGUUUUGAUGGUCCCAAGUUCAACAGUCACAGUUGAACAUAAAGCAAUUUCGUGAAACAAAAGUAUCUGAAUAAUCUAAGCUAAGUCAUACAUUGCAUUUGCCAUUUAUACACAUAGAAAUGUUCUUGUUUUGAUCAAAUCAGGCUAGGUUUAAAUCCCAUAAUUGGGUUCAUUAAUUAAUUCGAGAAAGAUGCUUUUAGUUAUAUAAUACUAAUAAUCAUUGAUAUUUGGUUGUGUGUACGCUAAUGUAGCAAGUGUUUGUGAUUAGUAAGUCAAGAGAAAUAUGACCAGGAGAUGUUUGGUGUUUUUGCUGAUGCAAUCUACGUAUAAUAAUUCAGAUUAAAUCUAAAUAACUUAUAUUCUUGACAAACAAACAAUACAUAUGCGUCUUUAUACGUAAUUACGUAUCUAUUAAUUAUUGUAAUUUUCCUUGACAAUGUUGUAGCUGGGUUGUAGCUAGUCAUUACCCAUAUAUAUACACAUAUGUGUGCAAUGUAUUUCCUAUAAAUUAUAGGGUUUGAUUGGUGACAUGUGGUAGGGUUGAUUAAGUUUGAGUUAAGCUUGUAACUCAAAAAUGUUACCAAUCAUGCAUUAAAUUUAAUUUUUUGAUUUUAAGUUUGAUUUAAGAUGUGUUGUAGUUGAGUUACAACUUUGACUUAAACCCUUUAUAAAAUUGCUAACUCAAAACAUAAACCUACAUCAACUAAAAUCCCAUGUUUUAAGAGUUGAGUUACAAAUUUAAUUGAUUUUUCUGUUUUAAAAAAAAAAAAAUCGUGAACAAACCUUCUUACAACAAGAGAAAAUCGUGAACAACCAUUUGAGUGUCCCAUAAAUACUCUACCUAAAUUUAUGCUAGUUAAAGAUUUUAUAAUCUUUCUUGUUCCUAAUUUUUUAAAUUAUUCAAAUGUUUAGUCAAUUAUACAAAAUCUUAAGCAUAAAUUCUAUUUGAUAAUUCAAAAAAAAAAAACACUUGUCACAAAAUUCUAUAUAUAUUGACCUAAAUUAGUGUGGUAUCACGUCAUUUUCAAAACCCGAAAGCUUAAGGUCUGUAAUUUUUUUUUAAUUUUCACGAACAUUUGUAAUUUUUUUCUAUUAUUUGGUUUUUUAAUUUAAAGUUCAUGAUAAUAAUAUUAUUUCAUUUAAUUUAACUUAUUAUUGAUAUUAAAAUAAAUAUUAUUAGUAGUUAUUAUAAUACUUAGAAAAUUAUAUAUACUGAAAAUUAUUUUUUAAAAUUUUAUACUUAUUUAAAAAAAUUAUUUCUAUUUAUUUUAAAAAUAGCUUAAUACGAAAAUAUUUAUUUCUCUGUUUUUAUAUUCAAUUCUUUUAUUCAGAACUCAUACUGCAACUUAUACAUCAAAAAUGUUACCAGUCACAAGUUUUAGUAAAAUGAUAACUUUUAUUUUUACUGCAAAACUUACCACAUAAACUUGCCGUUUUUACCACAUACUUUUUACUGCAAGUUAUAUCGAACUAUAAAUUACAUGUUCAAGUAAUUCAACUCUAAAACUACAUGUCACCAGUCGGAGCCAUAAUCAAGUUAACAAGUUAAACAACAUAUGAAAUCAAAAAGCUAAACAAAAGAUUAAGUCAACAAGUUAAACAAAAUAAUUAUUUGCAUAUCCGAUAAGGCAUGCUGACGUAGUGUUGGAUCUUAACAUAGAUGGGGGGGAAUCGUAUAAGUGGAUCUUAACAUGGAUUUACAAUGCCAUCUAAUUAAACGUUUAGGCCAAAGUUUAUUGAAUUUCUUAGGUCUUGAUUAGAAAAGCCAAUGACAAAGCAAAUACUGAUAUACUAUAAAACAGUAUGUACUACGCAGUAUGCUGCAGAAUUUUUUGUCUGUAUAUAUUUACUGAUGUUUUCAUUUUAUUAAAAAUUAUUAUACGAUAUAAAAACCACUCAUCUUUUUUUCAUUGAAAGUUCCAUUAAUCAUAAACAGAGAUUUACAUGUGACGAGAUAAAAAUCUACCAAGUUAAAACUUACCUCUAGAACCAGCAAGCAGGAAACAAAUCUUUCUCUGGAAGAAUAAGCCGACAGAAUUAACCAAAUUAUUUGGAGAUAAAACAACUAAAACAAAGACUAAAAUACAAACAUAUAUCAAUUCUAGAUCGAAAUUACAAGACACCCACCCAUAUACGAGGAGACACAGAAAGAUCGAGGGGAGGAGCAUAGCGGCACCCAAACACCAAAUUUUAUUAGGAAAGAAGCCACACUUCAUAAUUUUCCUUUGAAGAUUACUCCAUAAUCUACGAGGAAGAAAGCGGACCAUACAACUCAUGAAGAUGAUAGACACAAUUUUUAACAUUCAAACUUUCACGGCAGAAGGCAUAAAGAACCAGAGCCCCAAUUCCUUGAGAAAAAACCAGAGAUUCUAUCCACCAAGACAAACGAUAAGGAAAUCAAUCCGGGAUCUAUUCCAUGGCAAUAUAUAGAAGCCAAGGAAAAACCAACUCUUACAAUCCUCAGUAGAACCACCACAUGAAACUGAUAAAAGAAAAUGCAACCAGAUCAGGAUGGAAAAACCAUCGAAAGAAACAAAGACUCUUGAAUUAAAUACACAGCGAAAGAUCUCUGAAACCAACAAUAGAACCUAGAAAAAAAAAAAAACAUGCUAGGGCAGAGAAUAAGCUUCAAUAGUUUACAUAAAACAUAAUUCGGAGCAACACUUGUUUCUAAAAAAUACGAAUAACUCAAAAAGGUGUUUAAAUGUGUUUAUUUGAGAUUUAACAUGUCCAUGGACAUAGUUAAUGGAAAACAAUACAAUGGUUAGUUCUUUAAAAAAUGAGAUAAUGAAAUUGUUACGCACAAGAUGAUACAUUUAAGACCAAAUAAGCCUUUAAAGCAUAGCCCUUCAAUUAAAAAAAAAGGGUCCACGGAGUUCUGACUAAAUAAAAAAGACAUAAACCUUUCCCGUACCUUACAUUUGUCUCUACUUAAGGUUAAGGGCCAAAUUGCUCUUAAUUCUUUCAUUGUAUAAUUGAUUAAGAUUAGGCUUUAUAAUAAAUAAAAACUAACUAAUUAGUCCUUUUGAGUGGCUCUGCAUCUCUUUUAAUUUAGUUGCUUCUCUUUAAUAGUUUGUUUGUUUGUUUGGUCAAAAUCUCACACGCUCUUUUUGCAUGCUCUUUGCCACGUGCUAUCGUCGUCUCUCUCAAAUGAGCUGUCUCUCUAAUCAGUGUUUUUCUGUAUAGGAACCUCUCUCUCUCUCCCUCUCUCUCAUCGUUUUUCUCUCUCAUCUAACACAUGAGAAGAGCCUAUAAAACCCCUUCACAUCUCCCACUUGGUUUGCAUCACAAUACAUCUUCCCAUUACACAAAAAACAAAAAUAUAACAAAAUAUCUUUUUUCUGUUUUGUUUUAAAUAGUUUGAAGUCACAAGUUCUUUGUUGUUCAGCUGUUUCCCCCUUCCCACUAUCAUCAUACGAAGUGGGGUUUCGCUGGACGAAUAAACGAAAACUUUAAUUUUUAUUAAAGAAAAAUGGAUUUCUCCGCCUUGCUUCUAACUCUCUUCACCGGAAUUAUCUUCCUCUACUUCCUCCGGUGCUUAAUCUCUCAGCGCCGCCGUGGACCCUCGAAACUCCCACUCCCGCCGGGAACAAUGGGUUGGCCUUACGUCGGCGAGACUUUCCAGCUCUACUCUCAAGACCCUAACGUCUUUUUCGCAUCAAAACAGAAAAGGUCGGUGCUUUAGAAAAAAAUUGCUAUAAUACUAAUUGCCAAAAACAGAGGAUCUCGUGUUGAAUAAAGCUUUGGUCUUUUUUUUUGACAGGUAUGGAUCGGUGUUUAAGACACAUGUAUUGGGAUGUCCGUGUGUGAUGAUCUCAAGCCCUGAAGCUGCCAAGUUCGUGCUCGUGACCAAGUCUCAUCUCUUCAAACCUACUUUCCCGGCGAGUAAAGAGAGGAUGCUAGGGAAACAAGCCAUCUUCUUCCACCAAGGUGAUUACCACGCGAAACUCAGGAAGCUCGUCCUCCGUGCUUUCAUGCCUGAAGCGAUCAGAGACAUGGUUCCCGACAUCGAAUCAAUCGCUCAGGACUCUCUUCGAAACUGGGAUGGAACAAUGAUCAACACUUAUCAAGAAAUGAAAACAGUAAGACGCAUACUUCCUCUGUUUCGCCCCUCAAAACAGAGCAUCUCUGUUUUUUUCUCUCUAUAUACUCUGUUUUUUUUUUUUGAAACUGUUGUUUUUCUUUCUUCAGUACACAUUCAACGUGGCGCUGCUCUCGAUCUUCGGAAAAGACGAGGUUCUAUACAGAGAAGAUCUGAAACGAUGCUACUACAUUCUCGAGAAAGGCUACAACUCGAUGCCUGUAAACCUCCCUGGAACGCUCUUCCACAAAGCUAUGAAGGCUCGCAAGGAGCUCUCACAGAUCCUCGCUAGGAUCUUAUCGGAGAGAAGGGAGAACAGAUCCUCACACAACGAUCUUCUCGGUUCUUUCAUGGGUGACAAAGAAGAGCUGAGCGACGAACAGAUCGCUGAUAACAUCAUCGGAGUGAUCUUCGCCGCUAGAGACACGACAGCGAGUGUGAUGACGUGGAUCCUUAAGUACUUGGUUGAGAAUCCCAACGUUCUAGAAGCCGUUACUGUAAGUUCUUUUACUGACACGUAUUUGACGUUUUCUGGUAAUAAAAGGGGUAGUUUUGUAAUUUAUGUUGUUGUUCUUGAUGGUUUUUAUUUUUUUGGUGUUUAACAGGAAGAGCAGAUGGCAAUAAGGGAGGACAAAGGAGAAGGAGAGUCUCUAACUUGGAGCGAUACAAAGAAGAUGCCAAUAACUUCAAGAGUCAUUCAAGAAACAUUAAGAGUUGCUUCAAUCCUAUCUUUCACAUUCAGAGAAGCUGUAGAAGAUGUAGAGUAUGAAGGUAUUACAUAAAAUUUUCAUAAAUCCCAAACCUUACUCUUUGAACUUGUCAAAUUUAUUCUAAAAACGUUUUUUUUUUUGUUUUUUGUUAUUUUGGUAUACAGGAUAUUUGAUACCUAAAGGAUGGAAAGUUCUGCCGCUUUUCAGAAACAUUCACCAUAGUGCUGAUAUCUUUUCAAAUCCUGGGAAGUUUGAUCCAUCAAGAUUUGAGGUAAUGUAUUUAUCUUCUAGAAAAUAUCUUUUUUUUUUCGUUUUGGAGAUUGACUUGUAUUGAUAUUAUUAUUUAUUUGGUACGUAGGUGGCUCCAAAACCGAAUACUUUCAUGCCAUUUGGCAAUGGAACCCACUCGUGUCCUGGAAAUGAACUAGCCAAGCUUGAGAUGUCUAUCAUGAUACAUCAUCUAACCACCAAGUACAGGUGUGUGUACUAUUUUUACUUAUUUACCUUUUCAUUUACUUUAAAAGUGUUUUGUUUCUCUAUGCUGAUAAGGAGUACUUUUGUAAUUGCAGAUGGUCGAUAGUUGGAGCUAGUGAUGGGAUUCAGUAUGGACCCUUUGCGCUUCCCCAAAACGGACUGCCCAUUAUGCUGACCCGGAAGUCGGAAAUCGAUAUGUAGAGUUACGUGAUUGUCCCUUAGCAAUUCUUUAGAGGGAGACUACAGAAGAGAAACUAUAAUUGAUUUUUCUUGCUAAAGAAAAAUAGGGAGAAAUGGAAAGAAAAAAAAUCAAGAUUUUGGUAGGUAAAAAAUUCUCAAAAAUGGGAAAACAGGAGAAGCACCAAUUGUAAAAAAAAGAAGCAAUUUUUCUUAUUUAUUUAUUUUAGUUUAAGAUGGGGAAAAGUUGGUCAUUGAGUCUUCAAAUUCAAGGAAAACGUUAUAUGAAUAUCUUAAUUGUAUUUCAUUCACCCCAAAAAUAUCAUGAAUAUAUUUAACUGAUUCGUCCCGUACUUGGACUUUCCAAGUUUUUUAUUUAGUUUUAUAGUAUACACCUAUAUGUGUACGUGUUAGAGCAUCUCCAAAGAGACUCUAUUUUUUUUUCUAUAAUUUAUAUUAAAAUAGAGUAAUUUUAUUAUAGUGUAUUUUGCUCCAAUGGUGUUACUCUAUAAGUCUAUUAUAGAGUGAAAUAUAGAGAAAUGUCAUAUUUUAUUCUAUAUUUGGAGUAGAAAAGUGACAUCUCUCUAUUCACUCUAUAAUAGAGUUACUCUAUUAUAGAGUAAUACUAUUGGAGCAAAAGUUACACUAUAAUAGAGUUAUUCUAUUUUAGUGUAAAUUAUAGAGGAAAAAAUAGAGUCUCCCUUGGAGAUGGUCUUAGAGCAUCUCAAAAAUACACUCUAUAAUUUUAAAUAUAAAGUUUUUUGCUCUCUAAAAAGGAAUUUCAAAACUUCAAAUUUGAAGUUUUGAGAAGUGAAACUCUAUAUUCAAAGUUUCACUACUCAAAAUUUCAAAUUUAAAGUUUCAUAUUUUUAUUUGUAUUUUGGUCCUUACAAUUACACAUAACAUUUAUGAUUCAUAAAUAAUUUUUUUGUUUAUUGUUUUAAUACUUAUAAAAAUUAUAUCUCAUAAAUAUUUUAAGUUUUGUUUACAAAAUCUAAGUUUUACACAUAAAAUUAAAUAAAAUUUUAAAAGAAAAUUUAAAAUUAGAUUAGACAACAAAAAUAUACAAAAGAAACUUAACAAAAAAACUUUUAAAAAAUUACAUGAAGAUAUAACUAUUAUACAAAAUAUUACAACACCACUAAUAGUAAUGUAAGUUUGAUCCGAAACCUUCAAAAUUUUCAAAUAUCAUCUAAUUUUUUUUUUGUAACUGAAGAUGGUUGUUGUGGAUGAUGUCUUUUUGUACAAUUAUUUCUUGUUCAUAUUGAAUAUAUUCAUGAGUAUUAAUAUCAUCAAUAAAAGUUAAUCUUUUAGCAUAUAUAUAUUUUAUGUUUCUUUUUUAUUUUCUUGUUCUGAUCUAAUGUAUUUACAAGUAUUAAUAUCACCCGAUUUCAAUAAUUUUUUUAUCUCUAAUCUACAAAUUAAAAAUGAGAAGAGCCAUUUUUACUUUUAAAUGCAUUAGUAGAUCAUAUAUGCAUUAUGAAAAUCACUUUAUGGAAUAAUAUGAUAUUUUGCUUGAAGUUUAAUAUUAAUUAAGUUAGUUUGUUUAAAAUUUUAUAUUAUAAUAUAAUAUGUUAUUAAUUAAUAUUGUUAUAAUUUGUUUAUAUAUGUGCUAGUUAUUUACAAAAGUUUUAUGAAUUCAAAUUAGUUAUGUCAAAUAUAAAGACCAUAUUAUAAAAUACAAAUAGUUUUAAAGUUAAGUUUGAAGUUUUGCUUUUGGAGAAGAACACGUUUAAACUUCAAAUAUAAAGUUUGGAAACUUCAAAAUAGAGUUCCUUUUUGGAAAUGCUCUUAAUGAUAUCCCAAAAUCAAUAUUUUACAGUUUGUUGAUCUUUUUCGUGCAUUACACAAUAAUCUUUUGAAAAUGACAGAAAAUACUUGUACUACAAAAAUUGGAUGAAAUUAACAAAGAAGCCAUAUAUCAAACAUAACAUGCGUUUUUCUGCUCUCGUAUUAGGCACUGGAGAUCGUGUGGUCUUUUCUGUCCUUAUGCGGCCUUGGCGUUGUAGCGGUAAUUUUACUACCCGCGAUUGGGUCUUCUUCUAAGCUUCGGUCUGUCUCGUAUCCGCUAUUUUGUUGUGUGCUUCAGAGAUAAUUAAGAUUGCAAGACUAGUAAGUUCAUCGGUAACUAGCUACAUUGGAGACGACGUGAAGAGACCCCGGAAACCGAGGAAAUGAGGCGAAUCUCUCCUCCUCACAUUCUUCAUCAAAGGUUGAGAACGGUGCUCGAUACUCAACGAUGUAAGAAUCUAUUUAGUGGAACGCGCUUCAGAUUUGAGUAAUUUUGUUCGAGCCAGUCUUGUAAUCAAAAUUAUUCUUCCCGUUCUUAGGUUGAUGUUAUAAAAUUUAAAUUAGAAAAAAAACUUGUGUUUUGAUAUGACCCAAAAAUAUUAUAAGCUAUACAUAUGGCUCCGCGCAAGAAUCAUGCUUACGCCAUCUUCUUAUAGAAAUACUUUCGUUCCUCUCUAGACAAGUGCUCAAGUAAAAAAUACCUCUCCUUUUCGAGUUGCUAAAGCACCUGGGAUGAACGUCCUCUGAUCUAAAUAAGAGCUCCUAAUUGCUUUCUGGCAAUGAGCUACAUGAUAUUUACUUUUCAUCGAAUUAAAAAAAAAUUAUUAGUAUUGAAAGAUUAAUUUUACAAUGUCCUAACAAAAGAAAUAAAGUGCACACUGAUAGUUGCUUUUGUAAUAUAUACGUUUUUCUGAGAUUAUGUCUGAGAUUAUGUAUGUUUAUUUAAGAAUUUAACUCGUCAUUGCACCAUCUCACUAUAAUACAUACUAUAUAUAGUAGUACUAUCUUAUGUAAAUUUUGAGGAUAUUUAUUUCGUUCCAAAUAUCCUGUAAAAAUGAAUGAGGAUACUUAAAUAAAUUAUGUUGUUCCAAACUUCCAAAUAUAAUUUUACACCACAACAUAGUUUGUUUGCAGACUCAAGUAAGUACCAGAUCAAUGAAUGAGUUUGGAGUCGUUGGAAUUGCCACAAUGUUUAUAGACAUUUGUUAGAUUGACGGACGACUUUGACCAUCAUUCACCUAUGAAUUAUGUGGUCAUCGUCGCUUUAUAUAACUUUAUAUACUUAUAUCAUGAUUGAAGAUAUUGAUGCACAGCUGUAAUUGAUUCCCCGGGGAAAAAAUAUCAAACGGGCUAUCAAUUUCUAGUCACUAUCUGUCUUAUUAUCGUGUUAUUUCAAUUACUUGUGUAUUUAUAUUCUGAUAUAACUUAUAGCAGAUAGUACUAAAUAGUAUCUUAUGAGUGUUGACAAAAAAGUAGCAUCAAUAUGGGCAAAUGAGCAAUGGACAAGUGAACCAACAGUACACUAUGAUAUAUAGAAAAAAACAAUUCUGUAAGAUUGUCUUCGAAUAGAAAAUCCAAACAGAAAUCCUGUGCGUCCUUUCUCACUGAAAAGUUCCAUGACAACCAGGUGUAAAUUUGAUGUUUUCACAAAAUGAUGUGUGAGAUUACAGGAAAAAAACGGAUGAUUACAGAUUACUAUGGAAAAGAAAAACAAAACAAGUUUAUAUUUCUAAAAAAAAGUUAUACUAUAGACCAAAACAAUGUUUACUUGUUUUGGGGACUUUGUAUUAUUUACGUCAUAUUGUCGUCCUUUAAAUGUACCAAGCUUCAUGAUUUUCACGUUCAUAUUCUAAAUUUAGAAUAAUAUAGAUAUUUCAUGAUCAAUGGUCCCGAAAAUGUCGGUCCGUGUAGUGAUAUUGCAUUAUCUUGUUUUUACAAGUUCGUAAGUAUAUACAUGGGGAAAAAAUUCAUAUGUAAAACCGUGUAGUGAUAUUGCAUUAUCUUAUAUCUCAAAUUACUUUAUGUUAACAUAUAUAAUUUUCUGAAACUACUAGGUUCCCAUGAGUUUUUAACUACAUAGUAAAAAUGUACAGCUAGGUAUGGGUGAAAACAUCUACAACCAUUUCGCAUAUAGAAUUCAAAAUCAAAACUACGGCCAAACGAUAUCUAAUAUGAUAAAUUUAAGACCAUAGUUUAACUAUAUGUCUAUUUUAUCUGCACAAAUACACCGUAAACCACAUAUGAGAAUAUGCAUCGAUCUAAAUGCCUUUUAAUGUGGAAGUACGAAUACAUCACAUAUAUACCGCUGGUACGUUUCAACCCAACUCCGACAAUAAACCAUAAAUGAGCUUAAGCUUAUAAAACCCCAGUCAUAUCGCAAGCCGCAAGGGGAUUAGAUUUCAACAUAAGUUUGGGCAUUUCUUUCUUGUGAGCAUUGUGACUAUCGAUCUUUUUGAACACUUGUUUAGAUUUUUUCCAACCUCCAUAUAAUCUUCUCGUUAUUCCACUUCUUUCAUCAAACAAUAGCAUCCUGGAUUCACUCUUGAUCUGACUGUGAACUGUAAUCUUCUCAUGGGUGUCACGUAUUUUAUUAACCAUUGCGAAUUAUAUCAACCAAAACUCCACUCUUCACAGUGUUUACAAGAAUAUUGACCUUUAGUAUACAUUUUGUAGAUAGUAAAAAACUUUACUAAGCAUAUACAAACCCAAAAAAAAAAAAUACAAGAACUAAUUAAAAACAUUUAUAGGAUAUCGCAUACCGAUAUUUUCUACGUAAUCAUAUUCUUUCACAGCCCUACUUUCAUUUAUUUGGUACCAAUCGAAUAUUUUUACGUAUCCGUACCAAAUCGGCCAAUCGACGAUUUGUCAACAUAUCGCAUAUAGAAUAAUGAUGUAGUCACAAGUAAUCAUAAUGUAAAUAAUUUUUUUUAAAAAUAUGUCGUAUUCAGCUGUACUUAUGCAAGUAAUGAUUCAUGAAGAAGCAGGCUAUUUGCUUUGACCACAAAUAAAUAACUUAGAACUAUAGCUCUUAUACGUAGAAAUAUCUAUUUGACUUGUGAACAUAUUAGUUAUAUAUUUGUAAGUUAAGUACGUGUACUAUCUAUCAACUCCAUUACGUGGAUUGUUGCAGGAUAAAUAUAUGUGCUCGUUUAAUUAAUUACGAAGAAUAAACAGUCUGGCAUAGAGUGUUUGUAUAUUAGUUGACUUUUGGCUGCAAGCCAUAAUCUUAGAUCAAAUAUAUACUACAGUAUAAGAAACUAAAUAAUUAUUUACGAGAAACAUAUAGGCUAAUUAGUUCUAUGGCCGUUCGAUUGACAGAAAGACUUAGAUCAUUCUCUAAUGUUCUGCUCUAUAUCUUUUUAAAUAGAAUAACUCUAUAAUAGAGUUAGAUUCUACUCCAAUCAUAUUCUAUUUUAAAAUAAAAAAUAGAAUAAUGAAAAGAUAAAUUAAUUCUUCUAUUUAUUGAAUAAACCUAAUUCAUUCCUUUAGUUACCACAAUUCAUGUUUACUUUCGAACAUUUUCACAAAUGCAUUCUUCAUUAAAGAGGCAAAAAAAUUUUAUGACUGAUUUAUAGAUAUAAAUAUAAAAAAUUAUUUAAAUAAAAAAAUAUUUUAUAGUUUUAUAUUAUACAUUAUCAAAUUUGAAAUUUUGGUAAAUUUUUGCAAAUUUUCUUUUUGAAAUAAGAAAUUUCUUUUAGAAACUAUUUUUAAAAUAAUUUUAAAUUUUUUGGGCAUUUAUUUAUAUAUUUUUUAAAAUCAUAAAGCACACCCCAUAACUCUAAACCUAAGUCUUGAUUAGUUAACCCUAUCUAUUUACCUCUUUAAAAGUGAGGGGGGGGGGGGUAAAUGUGAUUAAUAUAAACUUGAAAAAUAGUAUUAUAAAUAUGGUAGUUUAGUGUUAAAAAGAAUGUGGUAGUUUAAACAAUUUUUCUUGAUCAGUAUAUACCGAAAACUAUUUAAACGUUAACUGCUAUAUUUUCUUUGGUAUUCUAACAAAGAAAAACCAAUACCUAAAUUUAAGUAAUUAGAUUGAACAACGAAAUUUCGUUUCUCAGUCUAAUUUAUGAUUUCUGGUUUCAUUAUGUCAUAAGUCAUAGGCCAGAUUAAUUACAUACCGCAAAUAAAAUGAUCUUUCUGACAUUAAAUAGUUGAUAAAACAAACAAUUUAGAUGUGAAGUGUAAUGGAAUCAUAUCGUCGGUAGAAAGUACACAAUCACAAUGCGUUGUUUGUUGAGUGACUCGAGUCCGAGUCAUCCAUUAUGAAUGUCUACUGGUACACCAACAGUUUCAUUUUGUUUAUUACGAAUAUUUGAUCAUUUUCAAAAAACAUGUGUAAAGUCACAAGAUGAUCAACGUUCAACAAAUAUUAUUGUUGAAUAAACAAAUAUUAUUGUUGAAUAACAAAGUCACAAUAUUUUUGUUUAUGUAGUUUCAUAAAAAAAUAUGUUUGUUUAUGUAACAACUUAUGAAUUUUCUCAACAUCUUUUCUAACAAUAGAAAGUAUUUCAAAUUAAAGCAAACCAAAGUACCACUCAUUUUAACUGAACCACAGAACCAUUUUUUUUUUUUUUGUCAACCACAGAACCAUUUAAUCAGAGACACAAACAAAAACUGGUUUAAUCUAGCUUCUCGGCGGUUUACACAUGAAGCAAGAGUCGUGCAUUGAGGCCCAUUACGUUACCUAUUGCCCAUACGAUUACCAAUUUCGUUACCUAUCCAUUCAUAAUGUUCAUUAUUCAUUCUCAGUCUUCGUCAUACAUGAGCACUUAUUUACGGCUCACUGAGGCCCAAAUAUGAUCAUAAUGUUCAUUAUUCAUUCUCAGUCUUCGUCAUACAUGAGCACUUAUUUACGGCUCACUGAGGCCCAAAUAUGAAGCUACCGCCAACGCCACACGUAAUCCUGGGCCUAUUAUCCGAAACCCUAAAACCAAACGGAAACCGAACCCAAAAUCCGAGACCAAAACCGGAUAAAAAAUUACAAAAACCCGAAUGGUUCUUAUAUUUUUAAAUCCGAAAAACCGAAACCGAACUUAGACCGAACGGGUAUCCGAAUAUUUUGAAUAUAUUGAAAAAAAAUUAUUUUAAUACAUAUAAAAUAAAAUUUAUAAAUAAAAAAUAUCUUAACAAAUCCGAAUAACCCGAAUAACCUGAAUAUUUUUUUGGUUUUUUCCGGGUUUAACUCGGGUUUUUAGGAUUAAUCAGUUUUUUGGAUUUUAAACCCUAACCAAACCCGAAUUAUUUGUAAUACAGUUCCACUUCAGGUUUUAUAAAAAAAAUAGAAAUCUAACCCGAACCGAACCAAUCCGAUGGUUCCUAAACAUUUCAACCCGAAUAACCAAAAAACCGAAUAAACCAAACCGAUCCGAACCAAAAAUCCGAAUGCCCAACGCUAGCCACACGGGUUGUCUUUCCCUUUGUUUUUAAAACCAAGGUUUUGUCUUUCCAAAUUCCUAUAAAUAUCAACCAGCUUACAACAAAAGCAAUAUUCCAACAAGAGAGCUAGAGCAAGAAACUUUAAUAGUCAGACUAGUUCCUCUUUGAGUUUCAUUAGAAUGACGAAGACUGAGAAUUUGCAGUAUCCCUUGACUUGUCCAUCAUCAUUAAUUACCUCCUCCCCAAUAUCAACAUCCAGAACUGUACAUAGAAAGCUUCACCAACCUGGUUACUAGCUAUACAAAGGUGUUCUAUGUCAUCUUGAUUCCCAAGAUUCAACACUAGGUCUGCGAAACGGUAUGGAUUCUAUUUGAACCCUUCAAAUCAAUAACAUUAUGUUUUAUGGUAUAUAGUGAUGUCAAAAAUUAAUUUAGCUACAUAUGUUGUUGGAUAAGCUUGAAUAACUUAGGGAAUAAGUUAACUAUUUCUUACCGAGAUAUGGAUUAAGAAAUAGAUAAGUCCUUGAUAUUUAGGAGUUAUCUAAAUAUCAUAUGUUUAGGAGGAUUAGGACUUUGCGAUUUAUAUAAAUAGAGAUGUCGAGGUGUGGCAUCCUAGUGUGAGUUGUGAGCUUUAGUUUUGAGAGGAUUUUCUAAGGCAUUGAGAUAUUAAUAAGAGAGCAAAUUCUUAUUGAUCUUGUUUGAGUUAUACAUUGAUUCUACACGUGGUAUCAGAGCUUAACCAGAGUUCGAUCACUAACAAUGGGAGACAUAAUACCAGCUUCAACGAAGCUUAAAGAUGGCGGACCUUCCUCCUUUAAAUGUCCUAUGCUAAAUUCGACAAACUACACUGUAUGGGCAAUCAGGAUCAAGGUCUUCCUUAAAUUACAUAAAGUUUGGGAUGUUAUUGAAACAGAGUCUGAUGACUCUGAGAAGAACAACGUGGCGAUAGCAGUGCUCUUCCAAUCCAUACCCGAAACGCUUAUAUUACAGGUGGGAGACUUAGACACCGCAAAGAAGAUUUGGGAAGCAGUGAAAUCAAGACACAUGGGGGCAGAAAGAGUUCGCGAAGCUCGACUUCAAACUCUCAUGUCAGAGUUCGAUAGGUUAAGAAUGAAAGAUGAUGAGAAAAUAGAUGAUUUUGUGGGAAGGAUAGCAGAAAUCUCGUCUAAAUCAGCCGCUCUUGGAGAAACCGUUGAAGAAACAAAAUUAGUAAAGAAAUUUCUUUCAAGUCUUCCCCGGAGAAAAUACAUACACAUCGUAGCCUCUUUGGAACAGGUUCUUGACCUCAAGACUACAAGCUUUGAGGAGAUUAUCGGACGUAUUAAGACGUUUGAAGAACGUGUGUCUAUGGAAGAAGAAGAAGCACCAGACAAUCAAAAACUUAUGUACGCAAACUCAGAUGCUCUUUCUACGAACCAAGACUCAAAUGGUUCUUAUCGUGGUCGUGGACGUGGAGGAAGGUACUACAACAGAGGUAGAGGAAGAGGUCGAUACAAUGGAGGAUAUAAUGGACGUCACAAUGAUCGAUACUACAGCGACAUCGACCUAUCCAAGAUUACGUGUUUCCACUGUGAUAAGACCGGGCAUUAUGCGUCUACAUGUCCUGAUCGUUUGUUGAAAUUACAAGAAGCAACAGAGAUUAAAGAGAAGGAGACUGAUACAACAGAGGCAGAAGAGCUAAUGGUACACGAAGUCGUUUACUUGAAUGAAAAGAAUGUCAAACCAAGAGAUCUCGAGAGCGAUUCUGAUAAUGUUUGGUACUUAGACAACGGCGCAAGUAACCACAUGACCGGAAACAGGAGUUACUUCAAGACCAUGAAUGAAUCAAUCACAGGAAAGGUGCGAUUUGGAGACGACUCUCGUAUAGAUAUAAAGGGAAAAGGAUCAAUCCUGUUCUGUAGCAAGGAUGGAACAAAGAAGGUACUAGCAGACGUCUACUACAUACCGGACCUGAGGAGCAAUAUAAUCAGUCUAGGCCAAGCCACAGAAUCCGGCUGUGAAGUAAAGAUGAGGAAGGAUUACCUUACAUUGUGUGAUAAAGAUGGAAAGCUCAUAGCUAAAGCAAAGAGGUCUAGAAAUCGAUUUUAUAAAGUUCUUAUAAAUAUUAUUGAUCCGGUGUGUCUGCAGGCUAAGGUUUUGACUGAAUCUACUCGAUGGCAUGCACGCCUUGGUCACAUAGGAAAGGAAGCUACGAAGAAGAUGAUCAAGAAGGACUUAGUUUACGGGAUACCUAACGUUGAGGUAGAAAAGGAUACUUGUACAUCAUGUAUGCUUGGGAAACAAGCAAGGCUUCCAUUUCCACAAGCAAGCGCUUAUCGAGCUGAGAAGAUACUAGACUUGGUUCAUGGGGACCUAUGUGGUCCCAUAUCACCUCAAACCCCGUCUGCUAAGAGGUAUAUUUUCGUGCUUAUAGACGACUGUUCUCGUUACAUGUGGUCGAUCCUUCUAAAGGAGAAAGGAGAAGCGUUUGAGAAAUUCAAGAUUUUUAAAGCAGUGGUAGAGAAGGAAACAGGAACCACUAUCAAGACGUUUAGGACUGAUCGUGGAGGAGAGUUCAUCUCGAGUGAAUUUAAUCUAUACUGUGAGACCGCAGGUAUUGUAAGGCAUCUAACAGCUCCUUACUCUCCACAACAAAACGGAGUGGUGGAGCGACGCAACAGGACUCUAAUGGGAAUGACUAGAAGCAUACUAAAGGCGAUGGAAUGUCCUAAUUAUCUUUGGGGUGAGGCUGUGCGGCAUAGUACCUACCUUAUCAACCGAGGAGCAACACGAGUACUUGAGUCUAAAACUCCAUAUGAAGCGCUAAAGGAAAAAAAACCAACAGUUAAUCACUUAGGAAUAUUUGGGUGCAUAUGCUACGCUAAAGUUGAAGGUCCAUACCUCAAGAAGCUUGACAAUCGCUCUCGUAUGCUUGUUCACCUCGGGACAGAACCAGGCUCAAAAGCCUAUAGGUUAUACGAUCCUAGCACUCGAAGGAUAAUAGUAAGCAGAGACGUAGUCUUUGACGAAACCAAGAUGUGGAACUGGAAACACAGCUCAGAAGAGACUGGAGGCAGCUUCAAUAUUAUUCAUGAUAUGUUUGGAAACAGAGGAAUAAAAGAAGUCGAGAUAGAAGGGACAGACAGCAGCAAUGCUAUUGUUGUAAGUGAUCAAAGUGCAGAAACUCCGAAUCUUGAAGCAGAUGAGGAUCAAGAUGAGGAUGAAGAUGGAGAAUCUGCACUUAGAAGGUCCACAAGAGACAGAAGAAGACCAGCCUACCUAGACGAUUAUAUACUCCUAGCUGAGCUUGAUGGUGAGCGUCUUCUUCUUACUAUGAAUGAUGAACCUUGGGACUACAAUGACGCAAAGGGUAAGAAGGUAUGGUGUGAUGCAUGUGAUGAUGAGAUUGCUUCGAUUAUUAAGAACAAAGCUUGGGAGCUUGUUGAUCUUCCCAUUGGAGCAAAAGCUAUUGGCUUAAAAUGGGUGUUCAAGGUUAAGAGAAACUCAGAUGGUAGUAUUAACAAAUACAAAGCUAGACUAGUGGUGAAAGGUUACAUACAGAGGCAUGGGAUUGACUUCGACGAAGUCUUUGCUCCGGUAGCUCGCAUUGAAACAGUGAGGUUUCUAGUAGCAUUGGCGGCUUCAAGAGGUUGGCAGAUUCACCAUUUAGACGUGAAAACGGCGUUUCUUCAUGGUGACUUAAAGGAGGAGGUAUUUGUCAGUCAACCACAAGGUUAUGAGCUUAAGGGACAAGAAGGCAAGGUAUACAAGUUGAGAAAGGCGCUCUAUGGCUUACGACAAGCACCGCGUGCGUGGAAUGAGAAACUUAAAGUGUGCUUGGGAGUUUAGGCUUCUUGAAGUGUUCUAAAGAGCCUGCACUUUACCAGAAGAUGGAGAAAGAACACGCCCUUCUAGUAGCCGUCUAUGUGGACGAUUUACUGAUAACUGGUACAAGUCUGGAGCUCAUAAACGAGUUCAAAAAUGGAAUGGCAGAGAACUUUGAGAUGAGCGAUCUUGGUAAACUCACGUUCUAUCUAGGUAUUGAGGUGGAUCAACGUCAAGAUGGAAUUACUAUGAGACAGGAGAGGUAUGCCAUGAAGAUACUAUCUGAGUCUGGGAUGAAAGACUGCAAUUCAGUACAUGUGCCGAUGGAUCCAGGCUUGAGUUUGUCUAAGUCAGUAGAAGAACAGAGUGUGAACGAGAAGGAAUACAGGCGGAACAUAGGUUGCCUCAGGUACUUGCUACACACGCGACCAGAUCUUUCUUAUGUUGUUGGAGUUUUGAGCAGGUAUAUGCAAUCGCCUAAGAUAUCUCAUGAAGCUGCAUUGAAGGUUGUGUUGCGUUAUCUGCAAGGAACAUUGACGUAUGGUCUCAAUUUUAAAUGUUCAAGCAAUGAAGGAAUCGUAGGAUACAGUGAUGCAUCUCACAAUGUUGAUGAAGAUGACGGAAGAAGUACGAGUGGUCAUGUGUUCUACUACGCUGAAUGUCCGAUAACAUGGAGCUCACAUAAACAAGAAACAGUGGCUCUGUCCUCUUGCGAAGCUGAGUUUAUGGCAGCUACUGAUGCAGCUAAGCAAGCCAUUUGGCUUAAGGAUCUUUUGGGAGAAAUAACAGGAGCAGAAGGUAUGAAGGUGCCGAUCAUGAUUGAUAACAAAUCGGCCAUAGCGCUGACCAAGAACCCAGUGUUUCACGGCCGCAGUAAACACAUUCAUCGUCGCUAUCAUUUCAUUCGUGAAUGUGUUGAUAGUGAGUUGAUAGAAGUAUAUCACAUUGCCGGAGUUAGGCAAAGAGCAGAUAUAUUAACCAAAGCGUUAGGGAAGCUGAAGUUCAAGGAAAUGAGAGAGAUCAUAGGAGUUGAAGAUGUAUCAAGCUUAAGGGGGAGAUUGUUGGAUAAGCUUGAAUAACUUAGGGAAUAAGUUAACUAUUUCUUACCGAGAUAUGGAUUAAGAAAUAGAUAAGUCCUUGAUAUUUAGGAGUUAUCUAAAUAUCAUAUGUUUAGGAGGAUUAGGACUUUGCGAUUUAUAUAAAUAGAGAUGUCGAGGUGUGGCAUCCUAGUGUGAGUUGUGAGCUUUAGUUUUGAGAGGAUUUUCUAAGGCAUUGAGAUAUUAAUAAGAGAGCAAAUUCUUAUUGAUCUUGUUUGAGUUAUACAUUGAUUCUACAUAUGUUACCAAAAUUCAUUUAUCUUUUCAGUCAUAUAUCCAUAAAGAGCUAUAAGAUGAAUUGUGUUUAAACUGGGAUAGUGAAAAGAUGGAUAACUUGCUGAAAAGUAAUUUGUGAUAUCAAUUAUGAAAUCAUCGUAGGAUUAUUAAACAAGUCUUUCGAGAUAGGGUGGAUCCAGAUGCCUAGAAAGAGCAUCUGGCACACGAGAGGGGAGGCAUACAUGGGCGUUACAUAUCCGUUUUGAUUCUUCCCUUUUCUUGUUCAUCAAUUUUCUUUGAAUUUCCAUGUAAAAUAGAGUUACAAUUUUUGAUAUACUAAUCCUUUUUUUCUCUUGAUUGUUUUUGUGCAGUGAUAUGGUAUGGUAAAGAGGGGAGGAAUAACAACGGAUUUUAGAUUCCGUUUUCUAAUGACGUUCACAGUUACCUUGUCUCCAAGACGACUCAAAUACGUCUAUAGAGAUAAAGAUAACUAUUUAUAUUGUAAUUAUCUAUAGUUAUCUUUAUCUCUAAUUUAUGUCCUUAUCUCCUCUAUAACUUCUACUUGUGUUAAUGUGUAUCAGUUUCAUUCUUGUUUGUGCUUUCGUUUUCUAAACAAAUCAUACUUUCCAUUUUAUUAUGUGCCGUCAACUUUUGAAGAAAAUAAUAGUCACUCUUCCAUCGAGCUUUAGGAGUUGUGGUUAUCAUUACGGUUAUGGUAGCUUAGCAAGAGAAGCUACGAUCAGUAAAAUUCUCCUGAUACCAUGAAACCACCACUCCCACUAAUGUCCUCAUAGUACGUUCAUAACGGUGCAAAGACACGCCAGAAAGUUCCAUUAUUAAUAUCCAGCAAACCACAAGCUGCUACUACAGAUGAUUCUGAUGCUGAGGGACCUGUCGAUGAUGGAUCACAGAUCGCUCUACCACAAUAUUUCGGUUCAGAUUUCUACCAUGAUCCUUGUUUUAUGCCUUGUGAUGAGCGAAAUCAUCAUCAAGCUCCUACAAACACUACCUCCAAGCUGGUGUUUGCUCCUAAAUUUUUCUUUACCACUUUUUUGCCGGGAAUAUAUUCAUAUCACACACUCUCUUUUACAUUACAUGAUGUCACUUUAAUACAGAGAGCAUCGCACUAAUUUUACUUGUUUUUUUUUCUUCUUUCUAGAUGGAUGAAGGAUUCAAUUUUGAGACAUUGACUGAGAACAUCAUCAUGCAUUACGGGUUAUGGGGUAAUCUUCAAGGAAGCAACAAAAAUAAUAAAGGGCAUCCUAAUACUAUUGAUGGAUCUUUUUACCGGAUUUCGCACAAUCCAUUUGAUCCUAUCGGAAGACCUUGCAAUGCGUUUGGCCCUACCGAGCGACCCUUCCCACACCUUCCCUCUAGUCAUGAACUGGCAGAUUUGUGCUUUGUGUUAAAAUGGUAUCGCUGUGGCACAUAUCAUUGACGAGUUCAUGUGUGAUUUUGUCUCAUGAAUUUUUUUCUUCUAGAAAAUGUUGUUUCUGUUAGUGCAGAUGAGGCUACAAAAAAAACAAGUGCAGAAAGUAAAACACACAAAAUUUAUUAACGGGGUUCGUUUCCUACAUCUCCGUGACCUCGUCCAUAUUUCACUGAAUUAGAACAAGAAGUAACCUACAAUUGUUAUAUGGUACAACACACACUAGUGUUUACAUUCUUUUCUAAGUAAGUACUUUAUGAAAAUAGGAACCAAACACACAUGCAUAGAUCACUAUCUGGCUCACCGAAGCUCUCUGUUUUCUACAGAUGCAAUCUUCACAGACCACCACAAUGAAACUGCAUGUGCUAAACUCCACCUUGAGUCUAAAUCUUCCACAUUUCAGAAAUACUUCACCUAAGUACGUCACCACCAACGCACACCAGUGACACAAAACGCUUGAUCCCCCAAGCAUACACGAAGUUCACCACGAGUUACACACGAUGGCUAAUUUUACCACACAAAGCGUCAACUCUAACGUCACCAAACUAAGUCCACAUCAGACUCCAUCAAAACUACUUCACAUUGCUUCAACACCAAGCAAUAACAAACACCAAAGAAACUUCUCUCUCUUCUCUAAGGUCUGGUUUUCUGAUAAGGCACGUCCUUCCUUAUAUAUCAGACCAGAACUUGUUUUCCACGUCUUGAACUUGCUCUUCAAGUUUCUAAAUACUCUUUAAGCAAAAUUCCUUUUCCAUUUAAGCAAUUUUCCUUUUCUUGUAAAGGUAAACCUUCUCUCCAAACAAAAUCUUUUUGCUUAAUGGAAAACGCUAUUUUGUCUUGAAGCACACAUUUCUUUCCUUUUUCACGCUUAGAAAGCCAAUGCACAUCACAAAACCCGUACUCCAGUAUAGCCCAGUACUACCGAUCCUGUUCGUGAACUGGUACAAGUCAUAUUUCUGUAGAAACACUUAAAUUCUACGAGAAUACGUAGCAAAAUCAUGUUUAUCUAAUUAUCCAUGUACAUAUGUAUAUUUAAACCAUAGUAUAUUUACUUAUAUAAGUAAAGAAGGAGAGAGCCGGUACGUAGAGAAACAGAAAGAAACAAUCAGACGAAGAGCGCAAGAACAUGAUGCCCUUGAAUAGAAUAUUUUAUACGUUGCAGAAAAUGUAAAUCUAAAUCGGAUAGAGAAACAUUACAAAUCAUGUUUAUCUUUUAAGGAAAUAUAACAUAUAUUUCAAUUUCUUCUUUCCUAUAUAUCAGCUUAGAAAAUCCUUAUAUUUCAAAUUUGACAAUACUGCAAACAAGAAGCGAGGUACAGGAGGAGAAAAAAAACCCUAACCAGACUUAAAGACUCUUCGUCUUUCUUAAAUUUCACUUUAGUUUGGUCGGAAUGAUGGCGACAGAUAAUUUCCAGCGUAUCUCGUCAUUGUCAUCAUCUUUACGGAAACCACAGCCACAAAAUCCACAUCCCGUCGAUUACAUUGGAAGCUUUAUGACACUGGUCUCUAAAUACGGUUUACGAUACCAAGGCUUUCUCUAUCAUCUCAAUCACGAUGAAAAGACUCUAUGUCUUAUAAACGGUACGAUCUGAAACCGAUCUGUUUGAGAUUUAAAUAACCUGAUAUGUAGUUUUCGUUUAGUUUACAGAGAAUAUUUCGAUGAAGUAAUUGUUUUUUUUUUAAUGUUGUUUUGAUGUUUGUGCAGUGAUAUGUUACGGCACGGAGGGCAGGAACCUUAUCGGGUUUCAUAUUCCACCUUCUUAUGAACUUUAUAGUUACAUUGUUUUCACCACAACUCAGAUAAAGGCAAGUAUGUGCGUUAACUUAUGUACGUAUCAUCAAUUUAAUAUUCUUUCUAAUUUGAUGCUUUCUUGGCUAAACUCGUUCCUCAUUUUUUUGGUAAUUCAUUUUUGCAGAAUGUAGUAGUUGAUUCUCCAGCGAGCUUAGCACGAGGACUAGGUAGUAAGAUUUAUCGUCCCCCAAAACCACCACUCCCAUAUGUAUACUCGUCAUACAAUCAAGACGGUGCUAAGAUACGCCAAAAAGUUCCAUUAUUAAUUUCCAAUGAAAAGCUCAGCAAAACGGAAGCUAUUUAUGAUUAUGAUGCUUCUUUAAGUAUGGGAUCAGUCAAUGAUGGAUUACAAAUUGCUUGUAAACCUCUUGCUUUACAGCAAUAUCCCGGUUCAAAUUACUAUGAUCCUUGGUUGAACCAUCUUUACCAACCUGUGCCUUGGGCUCCACUAUAUCAAGAUCCUGCAUAUGCUGCACCGUCAUCGAUUGCUUCUCAAAGUUUCUUUACCACUUAUCCAUCUGUUCCAUUUUCUCUUGGGCAGGUAAUAUAUAUCAUCAUUCUCUCUUUGUUACAUAUAUCUGCAUUUUAUUAUGUAUGUCACUUUACUUGCUUUGUUUUGGUUAUAGGGUAAUGGAGGGUUUGAUUUUGAAGCAUUGACUGAGAACUUCGAGCCGUACAAGCUAUGGGGUCCUGAAGAAGACAACAAGCAAGAAGAUCAAACUUCUUAUACUGUUGAUGGAUCUUCUUAUCAGAACGAGACAUGGAAUUAUCAAGGAAACAACAAGCAAGAAGAUCAAGGUGCUUAUAGUGAUGAUGGAUCUUCUUAUCUGAACGAGAUUUUGAAUUAUCUAGUAAACAACAAUCAAGAAGAUCAAACUGCUUAUACUAUUGAUGAAUCUUCUUACAUGAACUCGCGCAAGCCGUUUGAUCCUAUCGGGAUACCUUGGAAUCCGUUUGGCCCUAUCGAGCGAUCCUUCUCAUAUCUUCCCUCUAGUCAUGAACUGGCAGAUUUGGGAUUUGUGUAAAAUCUAAAUUUCAAAAAGGAGUGGGUGGCACAUAUCAUUGACAAGUUCAAGUUCAUGUGUGUUUCUUCUGUCUAACUAACUUGCCUUUUGUUACUUAUGAAUUUUCGAAUCUCACUUUUAUUGAAACAUGAAUUAAAAAAAACUCAUUUAAAAUUUAGUGUUAUUGAACUUAACAUUUUUUAAAGUAUUCUGUAAUCCACUGUUAUUGAAAAUAUUUUAAUUUGUGGAAUUUUAAAUUUUUCAAGUGAUUUUAGAGUGUUUGGAUAGAGUUUUUUAUUUAAAAAAAUUAAACUCAAAUCUCAUGGUUUUAGGUGAUAUUCAUGAAUGGUUUAACAAAAAUCAUUUUAUUCUCUGCAAUUCCUUAAAAUCAUCUAAAACCUAAUGAGAAAUCAAAUCACUUCAAAUUUUAGAUUGAAUACACCAUCUAAAAGUCCUUGAAGUUUUUCUACUUCUAUAUUUUGUUUUUAAUUCCCUUUUGGACUUUGACAUAAAUCUGACAAGGUCAACUAUGGUUGACUUAGAUAUUAGUGCAUGGUGAUGUAUGCAUCUUGAAGUUUUCUUUUCAUUAUCAAUGUUGUACAUUACCUUAGACUGGUCAGAGUUAUGUGGAGCAUUAAUAGUAGCUUGUAAGGUUAUGAUUGGUUAAAAUCUUCUUAAUUGCAUGUCAUAAAUUGAUUAGAUAAAGCAAAUAAAAUAUCAUAAUGUAAGACAAAAAUAGGAUAUAUGGCAAUUAUUUUACCAGGACAUAAUCAAAAGAACAGUGGGUAAAGUAGGGAUUAGUAAUCUUGUAACCAGGACAUAUUUUCUUUUGGUUACUGUCUUGUGGUUUUGGAACACACCUACGUUUCCACUGAUCUGAGCAAGAGAGAAGCGAAUAACAGCGGCUGUUCCGAGCACAAACGCAUGGCUUCCUAGUACAUAGCAGUUCCUUUAUGUGUCCCAUCGAAUAUCUUCUUUCUGGGCAGAAGGUUGUGCAAUGUGCAUAGUUUCAAUGAAUUCUGUGCCUUUGUUAGAUUCGGUUCCUUCUGAAUGGAAAAAAUCAAUCGGACGCAAGUACAUAUGUGUAUAAUUCUACAACACACAGUAAAGGUUCAAUCUUUUUGUCAACUAAAUAAGAGAAAAGCUUCGAACAAAAGAAACAAAAUAAGAGUGGGAAAAAGCCAUAAAGGAUAGUGUUCUUAACUUUUUGUUAUUUGAGGCAGCUUCUCAGAGAAAUUUUCUUUGUCAGCUAUAUAUUAAAUAUAUAUAUAUAUAUAUAUAUGAAAAACCUGGAGAAUAAAUUAUAAUAUAAAUGGAUAAUAUUUUUAAAGAUUCUAAGGAAACAGAUUUGAGUAAAAGGGAGGUCGGUGUAAAUUAUUUGGCCUUCAUAAACAGAACAAAAGCAAAGUAUUGAUUAACUUAAAACAUUUUGUAUUUUGUAUUUUUUUUUUUUUAAAAAAGGGAAGUUAAUUUUUUUUAAUCCAUCUAUCGUAUCUUUACUCUCUUACUAUUUAUUUUAUCAAAUAAAUUUUCUGAAAAAAAAAAUCUAACAUCUAUCUAUCUAUACUAUUAUUUACGAAGUAAAUUUUUGGAAUCGAGCUCUCAUAUUAAAAGUUAGAGUGGUUAAUAUCGUUUUUACCAUUAAUGAAUAAAUAAAAUGUAUAAAUAAAUUAAAAAAUAAAAACGAAAUUUUAAUUUAUUUGAUUAGAUAAUUGAUUAAAAUUAAUAAUAGUAAAAAUUAUCCAAAAUCUAAAAAUAUAAUUUUAAAAAGAGAUAAUUUUUGUAUAUAUAGUAUUGUUAUCUGAAAAAGUUUUUUAGUGAAAAGUUAAAAACAUAAUUAUAUAUCUAAAUAUUAAUCAAAUAAAAUUCUUAAUUAUAUAGUUAAAAAUAGAAUAUUGAAUUUUUCAAAAUCUAAAAAUAUAAUUAAAAAAAGAAGAUUAUUUCUAUACAUAUAUAUUGUAUUGUUAUCUGAAAAUUUUUUUUAGUAAAAAGUUAAAAAAACAUAAAUUAUAUAAUUAAAAAUAGAAUAUUGAAUUAUUUUAAAAUUUAUUUUAGUGUAAUGAAUAUAGCGUACAAAGAACUUUUUAAAAAUUUAUGAAUAGUUUAAGCCCGCAUCGCGGGCAAGCACCUAGUUCCCAAUUAUUCAGAAUGAAUGGAAUUAUUGUCACUAUUCUUUACCAGAAAUAAACUUUUCCAGAUUUAAAUUGUACUCUAAUAAAAACAUAAGUUUAUUAAAAAAUUAUUAAGAAAGCAUAUUAUUUUUUUUUUAAUAUGAAAAACUUAAGUCUAGUAUAAACGAGACUUCACUUCUUUUUAAGAGCCCCAACAACAUUAAGUCCAAUACAAUAAGCAAUUGACUGAACGGUGACCAUCGGAUUAACCCCUAAAGCCGUCGGAAAAACACUUGUAUCCGCCACAAAUAGGCCUUCGACCUCCCAAGUCUCUCCCAUUGGCCUCACCGCAGAUUCUUCGGGUCUUAUCCCCAUCCUACAACUUCCCAUUUGAUGAGCUGAACAUAUCUGUCCAGACAAAUCCUUCAAGCUCUUUGAACUCUCUUCUCUCACAAACCUCUCAAUCUCUACCGCACUCGCUGUUCUAACGUUCAAACUCUUACCUUUUGAGUUAUGUGUCCCGAUCUCCUCAGCUCCAGCCGCUAUCAAAAUGUUCAAGACACUCUCAAGACCUUUCUUUAGACUCUCUUCGUCUUCAUCGUUUAAGUUGUAGUCGAUGUAACUCUUUGAGUUGAUUGUUCCGGUUCCUUUAUCUCUCAAAAGCGUGAAAACGUGUGCGGUUCUUGAGAAUUUGAGCAUUCGGGUUUUGAAAUCAUUGCUUGACGUCCAAGGAAUGACCCCUGAGAACAUCCCUGGAUGAAGAGAAGGCGUUUGGAUCACCGUUUCACCAUAAGUAGUCUUUGCUUCUGCGUUUAAAACGCUAGACAUUGCUGUCAUUAUCCCUCCCUCGUAGCUCUUUUUCUUCUUCUCUGGCCACUUCUCCUCCUCAGGGAACCAUCCCCAAGCCAUAACAACUGGAUGUAAACAAAGGUUUCUCCCAAUGUUACCAUUCUUCAAACCGCUGCGUUUCAACAAAUGAGGUGUUCUAAGCGCACCGCAGGCCACUACCGUGGCCCUAGACUCCACCACAUAGAUGUCUUCCCCAAACGCAAACGCAAUUCCAGUAGAGGUCUUCUUCUUGUUCCCGCCUUCACACUCGUACAAGACUUCCAUCGCUUUGCAACCUGGAAGGAUCGAACCAUUACCAGAUUCCACUAAAUCUACAAGCCAAGUCUCUGAAGUCCCCUGCUUUUGACCUUUCUUGCAUCCCAAGGAACAAAACCCACAGUAAUGAUCCUUUGAAGCAUUCCUCGGAAUAUUCUUCACUUUUAACCCUAGUUCUUCACAACCUUUCCUCAAUACCUCAUUAUUAAACCCUUCUUCCACAAAUCCGCAUUGAACACCCAUUCUCUCACACACAACAUCCAUUGCCUCUCUAUACAAAUCGCUUUCAAACAACUCGAGUUCUGACUUUUCAGCCCAUUCCUUCAUCACGUGUUCCGGUGUCUUGAUCGAGGCCGACCAGUUAAUGGUUGAACCGCCUCCGACAGUGGACCCGGCGAGAAUCACUACGUUCAUAUCGGAAGUUGCUAGUAACCCACCGGAUAAGUACAUCUCAUCCAUUGCUUGCCCCUCAAGUUGAGAGAGAUUGCUUCUUGCAUAGUAGUUUCCUUUCUCCACCACCAAAACUUUAAAACCCGCCUUGGCUAAAAGUCCGGCCACUACUCCUCCGCCGGAUCCAGACCCAACCACCACGGCAUCACACCGGAUUGUCAUCACUGGGUUAGAAAUAGAUGAUCUGUUGUUAUUGCUCUUUUGAGUUGAUACUGUGAAGCCAUGAUCUGUUAACUUCUUUGUCACGGCUUCUCUAGGCUUUUUGAGAUUGAUGAUGCCAUUGUAUAGUGGUCCAAAGAUCUCCUUAGGCAUCUCUUUGUUAGUCUUCGUCUCAUUUAAUUCUUCUUCAUGAUCACUAUGAUCUGAGCUGGGUCCAUUGUAUCCUAUUGCUUUCCACGCCAAGUUCUUUCCUUUUUCAUCCACCUGAAAAUUAUUAAAUUAUUUAAAAUAAUUAAUCUUUGUAAUAUCAAGCUGUCAAUUUUUUUUUGGUUGAUAUACAUGGGCUUCAACCUACAAUCCAAUUUUAAUGUCCGGUUAUAUAUUCCCUCAGUAUUUUUUUCUUUUCUUUUUAAAUUUGAUUUAUUUAAGAAGACCACAAAGAUUAGUUUUUAUAAAUUUCUAUACAAAUUAACGUUUCUCAAUACGAAAUCACGUGAAUGGAAAGCAAGUUUAAACUUAAUAUUGCUUAACUUUUAAAAAGUGUUUAAAAUUAUAAAGACAAAACUUAAAGAAAGAUAAGGAGCAUAAAUGUAUAUGUAAAAGAUAAGGAAUGAAAAAAUCUAAUGUUUUGCAUGGGGUUAAAUGUUUACCUGGGUAAAGAAGACAAGGGCAGUGAUAAGUUUGAUGGACCUAAAGAACAUUCUUAGGAGUAAGAAAUAGCUUGAAGCCCAAUUGAGCAAUGUCUCUUCUCUCUGUUUCUUUGGCAGCCGGCAGAAUCUCUGGAAGAAUGGAAAGCCGCCGAUGAAACUUCUCCGACCACACAAGACGAGACUUCCAAUCCAUGUGGAGAGUGACCACAGUCCAACUCUUAAAAUCCACUUCCUUGGGUGGUGAAGUCUCUGACUCAUUAACCUCGCCACCUAUUAUUGUGAAUUUAUGACAUAAUAAAAAACGCAAAUAAAACUAACCAAGAUAAUACAAAUCAAUGAUUAAAUAAUAUUUAAGUCUGUUUAACCUAUAUUAGUUUUCAUAUUGUUAUUAUAAAGCUAGUAUUUGUCUGAAAUUGGACCCAAAUGUUUUGGUGUCCACGUUUUACAGUUUUGGCCAUCGUAUGACAAGAAAAAGAGACAUUUGUAUCAGCUAUCGUAGUGAUAUUAAUACCAUAUAGUAUAUAACCAUAAUAAUAAGUAUAAGCAACCAAUAAGUGGUUGCGAAAUGAAAAUAACGUAUGUGACAAUCAAUUUUGAGAUAUAUUUUGCAUACGUGACGAUCGACGGAUUUUAGUUGUACUCGAAACCUGUCGGCUCUAUAUUUCACUAAGAGUACUGACUUUUUGUUCUCUUCUUAAGUGAUGAUUCUUUUAUUUCAGGGAUGAAAGGACUGAAUCACAUGCAUGCAACAAUAUCUAUGUUGUUACAAAAUAAUGUCAUGCUUUAUUAAAGAAAUUAAUAAAACAUAUACAUAUUUAAUUGCUAAAAAUUCAUCUAGUUCAGUUAUCGAUAGUUUAAGCAGUGAAACUGUGGUUUCAACGUUGUCAAAACCAGCUGUGAAUAAUGAGAAAGAAAAGGUUCUGCGUCUUGUUCUACAACUUUUUUUAAAAUGAUCCUGAACCAAGAAAGACUACAAACUUAAUUAAGUUGUGUCGUCUAUUAAUCAUUUAAGUUGUUUCUAUAUUAAAGAACUGUCAAUUUAUUGGUUUGUUACUUUAAACUUAAGAAAUACAAAAGCCAAAUUAAGUUCAGUGGAUGUAAAAAUUCCAGCAACCAAUGGUUUCAAAUUAUAUAGUUUCAAAAUUCAAAUCACUCACAAAAAUAGGUUAUAUUCUCUUUUGUUUGUAAAAAAAAGGUUAGCUAUAAAUAUAUUCAAAUGCAUGUAACAUAUAUAGUUGAGGAAGCAUAUAUUUAUAUAUUUACAGAGUGAAAUGGAUAGGUAGAUAUAGAAAGAUUGUCUUUAAUUACAUGAUCAAGCAUGUGUAUAACAUAUAUAAAUGAACGUAAAUGCAUGUUUGUAUAUAUACACACUUACACGGUCGGGAGUUCCAGUAUGAGAAGCAGAGGCGGAGUAGUAUCCAGCGACGCCGUCAUCCAGGUGUCCUACUUCAGCGCCGUCGAUAGAUGGUAUUAGAGUAUCGCAGAUCGCAACCAGAGAUUCCAUCUCACGCGCCGUCAGUGAGUUCGCAUAAAGCGUUUUCGUUUCAUCUUGCUGCCGGGGACUUCCAAAUUCGACGUCAAGUUUUGCUUCCGUCGAAUCUUUAUGAAGACUGCUUUUGUUUUGAUAUUCCAUUAACUCAAGAAUGGUUUUUGUUAUUGUGACUGGUAAAGAAUGUGUUUUAUGUGUUUAUAUAGAUGGACAAUGGCUAAUUAUACAUGCACAUUUAUUAAAUAAAAUAUAUACAAAUGGAAUGUGUAGUAUUUGGACAAGUCAGUUAUGCGUGAACCAUAUCAAAUUUGGUACCAGCAGGAAAAUUCGGAUACCGGCAAGAACACAGGAUUGGUCCCAACUAUUCACCAAACUAUUCUAUUAGCACAGUGUCUUCUUACGAUUGAUAUAUAUGUUUUCUGUAAAAAUAAUUGAGUUGUGUAUUUUUAUCGACCAUCUUGGUAUAUUAUCUCAGAGAUUUGUAAAUUAUACACUAAGAGGUACAUCCAUCUCAUAUGAAAAAUAAUUAAAACUCAAUGAAAAGUCAACUCAUAGAAAAAGCAACCAUAACCUUUUAAAGGAAUGGAUUGCAUAACCUUUUAAAGGAAUGGGACUGAUCUCAUAACACAUUUGUUUGAUACAAACCAAAUUGGGGUAAUAUAUAUACGUAUAAUUAUUUGUGUAUGUAUCGCAAAUCUACUCCAGAUAAAUGACAAUGAGAGGAUGAGGAUUAGCCAAUAUAAUUAUGAUGAAAUAUUUUUCUUCAAAAAGGAAAAGAUAUAUGAGUAUAUUUAUUAUUUUAUUUUGUUCAGAGCUUUUAUAAUCAAGGCUAUGAAUGGUUUAAAUGUUUCCAUUAUACUAGUUACAGGCUAAAUAGUUUAUUCACGACGCGUAGAAGUAGUUCCAGUGACGUAACUAUUUGUGUUGCAAUAUGAAGUGAUCAUCUCGGUUUUUUUUUUUUUUUGAAACAUCAUUUCAUGGUUUUAAAACAUUGUUUGCAAUACUCAAUUAAAAGUCAACAAUUUUACAAAUAUUUUGACCUCCACGUUUGAUGACAAAAAGCUGAUUCUAAUGAUGAAUAAACGUCUUAAAUUUUUUUGAUAUUACGUUGGAAGCCCUCGAGGCUGAAUCAUACAUGUGAAUGCUGCUAGAUAUGUGACUCAAAAUAAAAGAAGUAAUGAUAAAGCAUAAUUUUGAAUGAUUAGGAGUAUUUGGUAAUAAUGCUAAAACAAAUUGACAAUGUUCAUAAAUAUGAUAGAAUCAAUAAAAGUCCAGAGAUCAAGAAAGGACCCAAGGACUGCAUGAUAUGAGUAUCAAACUGGACCCAAUGAAAAAAAAAACAAAAGAAUUGAAUGUCGAAGACAGUACAGUUAACAAUACCUGUCCUCCAUAAUUGUAUCAUUCAUUAAGCUUCUGAUUUUCUCCCAGAUUUAGAGUUUAUUUUCCCUCUUUUAUGUAAACUAAUACGUGCAUUGAUAUCAUCGAUUGUCCAAUGCAAGUUGACGUUGGGGUAGAUGGAAUUUAAUAGAAAUGUAGUGUUUCGUUCUUCAUAUAUUAUUAUUUAUUAGGUGAUAACAUGCGCCUUGCGCAGGAUGAAUAGAUUUAAAAAUAUAAUCACUUUAAAUAUGUUGAUAUUAAAGUUAUAGGAAGAAAUAUUACAUGUUAUAAAAUAUGGGUUUAAACGAAAUUUAGUAUGUCAAUACAAAUUCUGUUUUUUUUUAAACUUGUAUAUUUGUUUUGUUUAAUUGAAAUAUUUUAUCAUGCAAGUAAAUCAAUAAGAAUAAAUAAAUAUUAAUAUAAAAUAAAUUAUGAAAUGACAAUUUGAAAUUCUUUGUAUGGAGUAAAUGGAUAAAAAAAAUACUGACUUUCAAAUGAAGUAAGCUAUCCAUGUUAAAAGUAAAUAAUUAAACUAAUGUUAAUAUAUCGAGCUCUUUAACUAAGUGGUUUAACACAAAUUGUUCAUGUGAUGCCUAAGCUUUAGCUUAGUAUGAUAUAUAUACACAAAAUAUGAUGUUUAAACACAUUUUAUUUUGGUGAAAUGAAUAUAUUUUCAGCAUAAUUCAAUCAUAAAAUUCUUGAUUUCUCCUUUCCAAAUUUUAAUUUUUGGAAAGUAUUAUAUGCAAGGAAAAAAAUAUGAAACAAUAUAUUAAUCAUGAUAUUUGACCAUAAACUUAAUCAUUUCAAAAUUUUAAAUUGACUCAUAAUUUAUCUAUUACCAUUUAUGAUGAUUUUCUAAUUACAAAGUUAAAUGUGUGAUUAGAAUUAGUGAUUACAAUUUCAAAUAUUCACUUUCCAAUCAUCCAUGUUGAAAGUGAUUUUUUUUUAUGGAAUAUUUGAAAUAUUGAUUAUUAAAAAUGUUUAAAAAUGUUUUUUUAAUAUUAGUUUCCAUUCAUUAUUGAUUUCUUAUUCAUAUAUUCAUAUAAAAUAUUAUCUAACAUGUACCCAUAUAAAACUAUUGUAAUUUAAAAACUAUUUGAAAUGUUGAUUAUAUACACCAUGUGUAUUGAUAAAAUUAAAACUAUAAUCAAAAUCGUAAAUAUAUGGACAUAAUAAAAAUGUAUACUUUGCGAACAUUUAAAAGUUGUUUGACUAUCUUUUUGAUGAUAUAUAUUAUUCUUAAUAUGAAAAUUUUAUAUACAUAACUUAGUAUAUUUGGAAUUUAUAAUGCAGAUAUAUUUAAAAUUUGAAGAAAACAAUUGUUAUAUUGUGAAACGUAAUUUAUUAGCAAAUAUAUGAAUAUACCAUAAAUGAUUUGUAACAUACAAUUGUAUACAAUAUAUUCGAAACUAAUUAAUAUGAUCAAUGGUAAUUUAUGUAAUUAAUCUAGUAAACUAAUCCUUAUUAGAUAAAAGGGCUGAGAGUGAUUGUAGAACUGCCACGUGUAAAUGACACUCUUGUAAAUCACAUGAAGACAAGGUUUAUUCUUAAUAAUGUUCCUAUUUUAAUAUAUAAGGGAUAUAUCCCUAAUGCUCGUUAAAUAAUUGCGUAGAGUGAGUGAAUUAUUUACAUUCAAAGUUUAUGACGUAAGCAGUUCGAAAGAUAGACCUACAAUCAUAAGACCACCCGCAUCGGGGGUUUAUGAGAGAGUCACGGGCUCGGUAUCAUAGGCCUUAUCGAUUAAAAGAAAUAAAUAAAUGGGUUUCAACCCGUGAACCGGGUCUUCCAAGUGAGCCCGUAUGAUACGGGGUCAUGCCACGCGGCGCAGAGGGAGUGGCUACGCGAUCGCGCGGGUUGAGUGCAAAAAAAUGGGUUUCGCGUGAAAGAUCCCAUUUUCCCUUCUCUCUUCGAAAUCUAGGGUUUCUCCGUCUGUGAGGCGAUUUCGUGUCGGAGUCCAGAGCCGGAGAUUUUCUCGAUCAAUUCGCCGUCGGAGUCACUCGUAAACGCUCUCAGGUGAGUCUCAAUCACUCCGAGGACGAGAUAGCUUCGAUUUGAUCUCGAGAGGUUUCUAGGUUAAGGAAGUCGAUUUGGGGGUUUCGUCUUAGGGUGGGAAAUCGAGAAGGGGGUUUCGAUUUCUUGGUCAAAAUCGACAUACGGUUUCCUUUUAGGGUUCGUUUAUCAUGGAUUUCAUUUCGAUUUGGGGGUUUCGUGUAAGGGUUCGAAAUGUAAAAGGGGGUUUUAAUUUAGCACAUGAAUAUAACCGGACUUGGCUCUUUUAGAAUUGUUUUCAUGCAUGAUAGGAUUAGACCUUUGAACCGAAUUUUUGACAUAGCAAUAUAGAUAGCAUCAAUGGUUACUAGUCGAUUAACAGCUUCAAUAUGCUUUCUUGAAUGGAAAAACAAACCACAUUUUUGAUUUCUAUAGUUCUGUGGUCCUGUGUGGUCUAUAGUAGUUUGAUGCCAUUUUUUUUAAAUUGGAACUCGAUUAAUACAUGUAAUUGGAACUCGAUUGUUGCAGAUGGAAACUCCCCGAGAACCUCAUUUCUUCAAGCCUCUUCUUCCUGGUUUUCAAAGUGGCGUCGCAAUACCACUUGACUUCUACUCAAAACACAUACAAGGGGCUGAGAUCAAUAAACCAUGGAAGCUAAGAUCGGACGCUUCGGAUCAAAUUUGGGAGGUGAUCCGAGAAGGCAGGACACUCACCAAAGGUUGGAAAGAGUUCACCGAAGCACAUGAUCUUCGAAUCGGUGACAUUGUCAUCUUCAAACACGAAGGAGACAUGGUCUUUCAUGUGACUCCUUUUGGUCCUAGCUGUUGUGAGAUUCAGUAUACACAUCCUCACAUCGUUAAGGAAGAAGCCGACGCGGAUGAUGCUCCUACUUUCUCAUACGACUACUGCUUCUUGGCUGAGGUUACUCCUACAAAUCAAAAGGACGACAAAAUGGUGAGUAAAAUUUAGUUAUUUAUUGUGUGAUUCUAGUACUGCUUCUUGGCUGAUGUUAUGUAUGUGUUUGUAGUUUCUUCCUGUGGAAGCUAUGAGGUGUGGUGCUUUGAACCAACAAUGCAAAGAGGUCAAACUUGUCAACAAGGAGGGAAAGUCAUGGACUGCGCGCUUCGGAUUUAGCGAAUCAGACGGUGCAUAUUACAUCAGCAGAGGGUGGAGAAAGUUCUGUCGUGAUAACAGAUGCACCAACGGAGAUUUGUUUGUGUUCAACGUGGUUGGAGACGGGACGACAACUCCAUUACUGUGUGUAUGUCCGGAAAGGAAGGAGUGUACUGAACUACUGAUCAAGCACUUCAGCAGAAUCGAUGGUAAGUCUUCUCAUUUGACUUUUUUGUGUUGUAUAUAUCUUCAAUGUUACUACUUUGGUUCUGCUUUAACUUGUGUUCUCUUCUUCUACAGGUAGCAUUGCUUCUACCUCACGAAAUUAGAUGGCUCUUUUGCGGUCUUUCCUCUCUAUCAUCUUAACUUGUUUCUUUUUGUUUCAUUAGCAACUUAUCAACUUAUGUAUUUCGGUUUGUAAAACUUGAAUGGUUUUUCUAUGUGUACUUUUAUCCUAAGUUAAACAUUCUCGAACUUAAUUCCUUUGUUGAAUGCGUAGACUGAUCAUCGAACAAAAUGUUUCUAUGAAUUGAAUUUAAGUUAAGAAACAACAUAAAAUUUUAAAACAUAGCUUUUCUACAUUUGAAAACACAAACCAAAAUAUUAAAACAUAUCUCGAAAGCCAAAACUUAAACUCCAAAACUCUAACAUAGCUUUUCUACAUCUGAAAACACAAACCAAAAUAUUAAAACAUAUCUCAAAACCAAAACUUAAACUCCAAAACUAAAACAUAGGUUGAAUAAAAUGUUUUCAUAAAUUUUAUAAUAUAUUUUAAUAUUUUAUUCAUGUAUUCUGAAUAAUUUUAAAUUUUAAAACAAAUAAAAAAAUAUUAUUAUUUUAUUCCUAUGAACUCGUUCUUCGGAUUCACUAAUGCAGAAAACAACAAAUUUGGGUUCAUAACUGUUCAUGAGCCCACAAAAAAUAUUAAAAAAAUUUGGUGAACCCCAAAGUGGGGUUCACCAAUGCUCAUGCUCUAAGUACGGGUAUGAUUACCGAAAAUUCCGAGUUCGGAUUUAUAGUUUCAUAUCAAAUCAGACAUGCAUCAUUAAGUUUUUUUUUUCUUCUUCUUCUUCUUUUUAUUCAGUAAUGUAUACCAACCAUUUUAAUUUUUAUGAUGGUUUUCUAUAAAUCCUUCUGAUUUUAAUGUUUUAUGUAAUGGAAUAUAUAGAGUUUAAACUUUAAUACUUUUUUGUCAAUAACCAAAGUCAUCUUUAGAUUAUAUUUCAAAAUAAUUUCCACCUUUCGGUAAGAAAUCAAAUAUAACUAUAAUAAAUCUUUAUAAAGUAACGCUUGAUCAAUUAAGACACUAUGAAACAACACGUUUUGUUGAUUCAACCUUUAGGGGGAGAACAUACGCCAAAGAGACUUGAUUUAUUGGAAGCAUUAUCGUGUGAAAUCGACUCUGAAGUGUCGAGAUUGCUAAUGAACAGCUCGUAAGUCCCAUUCCAAAGACGAACAUCAUAGUUCCAAGAAGGUGUAUCUACAAAUAUGGUGUAUAUCAUAAGCAACUUAUCGAUUUAGUUGUUAUAUAUGCAUUAGUGCAUAUAAUGUUCUAAAGCUAAACCAUAGAUAUACAAAGUCUCAUUAGCAUGAUUAUCCCUAGCACCUCUAAUAGAGUUCUUAAUCAAAUUUUUUAGUAAUAAAUGGGUGUUAAGCACUUAAUUUAAGAAAUCUCUAAAUUGUUGUUCUCCAAUGCAAGUAUCUUAUUUAGAGGUUCUUAUAAAAUAAAAAAAAACAUUGAGACACAAAAUAUUUCAAACACACUCUACAAAAGUUCACAAGAACACAAGUAAUAGCAUCGUAGUCAUGACAAGAGACAUGAAUCAUAAAGAGUAGAAGUAUUUCAAGACACAAAACAUUAACAUAAGAAGUGGAUACCUUCUUGAUCCUGAGCUUGAACAAGACCAAUAAUAGCAAAAGCUCUUAGUACCAUCAACAAUAACGGUAGCCACACUCUCUGCACUGGAUCACAUCCCCACUGCAAAAUGACAUAUGUCUCAAUGAAUCAGAGGAAUUAAGCAAACAACAAGUGAGAUCAAAGAGGUCAAAGAGGUCAAACAACAGGUCAAAGAGCCGGAGCCGGAUCGUUAUCCUCCUCCUUCUCCAGUGGUGGUGGAUCAACAGCUUGAUCAAGAAGAGGUUCGGUUCCUCCUUUGAGGAGAGAAAGAGAGAUGAGAGAGAGAAAUACUUUGUCGACGUGUGUCCCAUAAGAAGCGACUCUUGUAAUGCUUAAUUAAGCAGCGCCUCUUGCAUUAAUAGGUAAUUUUUAUUUUCUUUUAAAUCAUAAUUAUCUUAGCAACCCUAUUAAGCGCCUGCGAUAUUAAUGCUCUUAGUGGCUUCUACCAUAAGUAUUAUCACCUUCCCACGAUUCACAGAAUAUUGCACAAACGACUCUGCGACAUACAGAUGUCCCUGCACCGAUCAAAUACCAGAGGGACAGAUAGGAGCUAAAGCUCACGAGCACCCAUUUUAGGUGCUAAAAUUUGUAAAAAAAAUUAUAGAAAAAUUGUAGGGCAUCAAAUUUUUUGGUGUAAUGAUUUAUGGGUAAAAACAAAUUUCGUCCUUUAGGAAUCCAAAUACAUAAGAUCGGGCCUGGGGAGAGCAUAAUAGUUUUAGAGUAUAAUGUGUUGCUUCUGUAAGAUGCAAAUAGAUAAGAUAAAUUUACACUGAGGAUUCAAACAUUAAGCAACUAAAUACUGAUACAACUCUCUUUAUAUUCACGCGGGUGAUUAUAUCGACAAAUAUCUUUGUACAAACCCAAACGCAAACGCAUGCACUUAUAAAUUCUACGACAAUCCGAUCUGCCGAUCCAAUCCUAAGCCCAAUAUUCUCUUUGGUUUCCAGUACUAGUUAAUUCGGUUUAAUUAAUCGAAAUAUUAUACUUCUCAACUCUUGUACUUUUCUGCCAACAGUACAUGUUAGCAUGUCACAAGAAUAAUGACACUCUCAUCUUAGAAAAAAUAAAAGAACAAGAAGAAUGACAUUCCCCUUGUCCGAACAACAACCACAUGGACUUGAUUUGCGCGAGUUUCAAUCAGUUCUCUUGCCCACAUGUGUUUAUCUGAUCUAUCCUAGCCACAUAUCCACCACUACCUUCUUAAUCUUAAGAAAUUGUUAUGACCAUUUCCAAUAAGGUGCUGUUCUUUUGCUCAUCCAGGUUAUCCAUUUGGGUGAAGAUGCAAAUCGAUGUUUGUUUUAUACAUAAUAAUAUUACAUCAAAAUGAAUCAUCCAGCUGAAUUUUAAAAACUCAUCUCAAUUUUUCACCCAAAUGAGGAUGAAUUUUGAUGGUGCAUCUGCAUGCAAGUGCAUCUAAUUAAGUUUAAAAUGAUAAAUGGCAAAAUAACUUCUUAAAAUCAAAAUAUUAUUUUCGAACCAAAAAUCCUAUAUUUUCCCUUAUACAUUUUUCCGUCAAAACCGAAAAAUGCAUUUUCUCGCCAAAACUGAAACACACUUUUCGCCAAAACCACAAAAAUACGUUUUUCCCCAAAAAGCGUAAAAAUGCACAUUUCCAUAAAACAUACAUUUCGGCCAAACUAGUAACCCACACUUUUCGGCCAAAACGAUAAAAAUACACUUUCCCGCCAAAAUCUUAAACCGCACUAAAACCGAAAAUCAUACUUUCCCGCCAACACAGUAAAAACACACUUUGUCGCCAAAAAUUGCAAAAUACAUUUUUCCACCAAAACUGGAAAACACACAUUUUCUCGCAAAAACCGAAAAAAUGCAUUUUACAGUCAAAACCGAAAACGCAUUUUCCAUCAAAAACGUAAAAACAUAUUUUUCCGUAAAAUCUAGGGGUGGGCAAAAAACCCAAACCGAACCGAACCAAACCAACCAAACCGAAGUUAAACCGAACCAAACCAAACCGUGCUCUUUAUGUAACCCAAUUGGUUCAUGUUUUACUCAACCCGAACGGUUUGGUUUGGUUUGGGUUUAAACCGAACCAAACCGAACCAAACCGAUAAUCUAAUAUAUAUAUAGUAAAAAUAUAUAUGAUAUAUAUAUAUAUGUAUUAACAUAUUGCAAAUUUUAGUUAAAGUUUCGUUUUUCAUUUUUUCAUAAUUUCCAUAUCUUAAAAAAAAAAUAUAAAUACGAUUCAAAUAAUACUAUUAUAUAUAAAAUCAUGUAGCAUAAGUUUUUAUAUUCUCACUCUAUCGUUUAUGAGUUGAUUAUUUUUUAAUAAAAGUAUAAAACUGAUGCCUUCAUAUUUUAUAACUAACCCGAACUACACCGAACCAAACUAGACCAUUAUAAUGUAAACCGAACUAAAUCUAAACCAAACCAAACUGAACCGAACCGAAUUAAACCCAAACCGAACCCAAACCAAAGCUACUUUGGUUUUAAUUGGUUUGAGUUUUAUAAAACCCAAAUUACCCAAACCAAACCGAACCCAAACCGAACCCGAAACUAAACCGAAAUGCCCACCCCUAGUAAAAUCUGCAAAACACAUUUUUCCGUCAAAACCAGAAAAACGGAUUUUUUCGCCAAAACCGGACAUACACAUUUUCUCACAAAAACCGGACAAACGUAUUUUCCCGCUAAAAACGCAUGUUCCUGCCAAAAUCGAGAAAAUGCAUUUCCCGCUAAAAACCAAAACCGUAUGUUCCCACCAAAACUGCAAAACGCAAU
This 52685-nucleotide long non-coding RNA is filed under the name Brassica rapa (field mustard). Its description in RNAcentral is "long non-coding RNA (BRAP_LNC002192)". The record is from RNAcentral. Lineage: Eukaryota; Viridiplantae; Streptophyta; Magnoliopsida; Brassicales; Brassicaceae.